CCGGGCCCUUAUAUACUAGUUCACAGGAUCAGUAGUGGAUUCCAAUUAAGGAGUUGUUGACGGAAAGGGAGUUUCAAUUCCUCUGAUACUGCCUCUACUGCCUCUCAAUCUUAUCUUAUUAAAGCAUCAGUAGACCCCGCUAAGGCUUCUGGUAGAUCGAAAGCAGCGGGAACUCUAACACAUGGAUACUAUAAAGGAGACUCGAACACUAACUCGGCUAGCAUACCUAGCUCAUGACUCUGGUUCUUACCCUUAUAGUAGGCUAUUUAUUAUCUUAUUAGAUUAUUCGUGCAUACCUAGCUCAUGACUCUGGUUCUUACCCUAGGGAAAGUAUUAUACCUCUGUUGGACCGUAUUCGCUACUAUCCAUAGAAAAAGAUGCCAUGUCCUCUUCUCGAUUUCUCGAUGAAAACGACUUCUUACCUCUUACCUAGAAGAAUAUCGAUUAUCACAGGAUUCCUCUAAAGCAUACUAUAGCAGAAAAAAUAUCCAAUCAAAUCUUACCAGGGAAGGAGCCCUAAAGUCAAGAAAGAAUGAAUGCUGUUGCUUGUUCUCGAAGCUCACUUAUUGAAUCCAUCUCGCAACUUAUAGGGAAUAGUUACUUCACACCAAUUCUUCCUUCUGAAGCGCAGUGUACUUAAGUAGAUAGAAGUUUGAGUGUUGCGGUAAGCAAAGCGGGUAAUCUUCAAUUCCAUGAUUUUCUUAAGGAUUUUCUUUGUCUAAGGCUCCUAACGUGAGCUGUUUGAGUUGUGCUAACGGUAGCUUUAAGAGCGAGUCCAGAUUGAGUUUCUUUUUUCCCUUGACUUUGUAAGGAGUGAGUGAUUCCUCAAGUUCUAGAUUCCAGUCUGGUUCCUGUUCCUGAGACUUUACUUGCGACUGCUCCAGCAUUGGAGUUUGGACGAGUAGGGCGAGUAAUCAAAGAAUCAAAUCUCAAUCACACUCAUUCUAUAACAUAGUAAACUAACGCUCAAUCACACUCAUUCUUGAAAACAUAAGUCAACUAACGAAUCAAAUCUCAAUCACACUUCAUUCUUGAAAACAUAGUAAACUCACAUCUUCUCUCGGGGCUUGCUCUUGCUAAAGGGCUUGUUGAAUGGAGUUAGGAACCCUGCUUCCCUGCUUAUUAAAGGACAGAAGCAUAGGCACUAACAACAAUAACUAAAUAAGAAGCAAGAGAGCUGGUUUGGAAGCUGUACCCGGGCGGAACAGGAAAGAGAGAAAUAAGAGUGGAGUAAGGUCGCUCUUCCUCAUUCCAUUCUUUAGUAUAUGCUUGUUUACUUGGCCGGGAUGAAACUAUGAGUAGCUUGUCGGCUUGUCUGGUCGGUAGUAGUGUAUUGUCUGGCGCGUAACACAAGCACGAGCACCCAUUGAUUGAAACCAUAGUAUAUGGCACAACCCCAACGACUAGUCUACCUUUGCUUGCUUCGAUUCUCACUAUCCUGUUUUUCGUUCCCCAACAACUUUACUUACUUCAAAUCGGAUAUGGCCUGUAUCUAAGACCUAAGCUCGCCAGCUACGCUCUCUCAAACUGAAACUUGGGAUCUCGUACCCAGUCUUCUGCUGCUGUCUUUUAGUAUUAAUUGCCUAACUCAAAAGCGGACUUGAUGGUAAGCUAACCGAGCUAGUGGUUGACUUCAUUAUUACUUAUUCCACGCCCAACCUUGUAUUGAGGCCUUACUUGACUUUAUCUCAGCCUGCCUCCAAGCCUUAAAACACUAAACAACACGCUCAGGCUAUUGCCUAUAAGUCUGCCCGAUCAGAGGCUCGGGUUAGUCCGCUACUCCUAACUCCUCCUACUUCGAUAACUCCUUACUUCCACUCUUGGGCUUGCUCUUUUCAUUCUGAGUUUCUUACUGACUUAGUUUAUUACUUACUUAUUCAUUCCUGGACUCCUGGACUUAAGUAUUACUUGAAAACUGCCCACUCCUUCAUAUCUGUAUGCCUUUACACCUAAAACAAGGGGAUCCAACCCGGAUCGGAGGAAUGAAACAAAGGAGUUAGCCUUAGACUCCUGAACCAAAAUCUGACUUGAAAACAGCCAUUCCUGCAAAAAAGCCUUUCGCUCUGGGGUUAGCUUAAGUCUGUUACUUCGAAUUAAUAACCACUAGUUGGGGGAGUUAGGCAAGAAUGAAGUAGUAACACAUGGAUGAGUUUUUCUUUGGAAUCUCUAGUGGGCUUGCUCCGAAUUGCAUUCUAAAGUCCGAGUAUUAGAGUAGUCAGCAUAAGAACGAAACCCACCCGACUAUAUUGAUGGAACGCUGCUACCCGCUUGUAUCAAUAGAAAUCAAAACCACUAUACUAUUGACAGUGCCGAUUCCAUUCUUAUAAGAUAAUAUAGUUUAUUCAGUGCCAACUCUCUUACUACGCUCUGGAAACAAUUCUGAUAUUCGCCCCCCAAACAUAUUAGAAUGAUUCUAUUACAUGACAAUUCUUCUAUCACUUUGCUUUGGAGUGGAGCCUAUUACCUUUGCUUUGGAGUGGAGCCUAUUACCUAUGAUUCUAUUACUUAGUUGUUUGUCUGCUCACCCCCUGCUGUACUGGCACACAACCCACCCUACUAUGUAUCAAUAGCAUAUUGGGUAUCAAUGGCAUAGGUAGCAAUGAACACCACCACUCACUAUUGCGUGUAUCAAUAGCACAAACGAACGGAACCAUACCUACUUGGCAAGGUACUCAUUAUUCAAGUCAAAAGCACAUAGUCUUAAGGGAGCGCCUAUCAGCCUGCGAGCGACCAUGCAAUGGUGAGCAACAUCACUCUUUCUUUACAUUUCAUGAAACAUAACUCAUUCAUUGAGUGGUCAAUCAACAAUAAAGCAAGGUUAGUUCACUUAGUCCCCAAGUCACAUAGCGCAUUCUUUGAUUAAAGUCAACAUAACUCAUUCUAUGCGCAGACCCCCGGGCACUCCGCCUGUGAGCUACCAUAUUACUCUUGCUUUGAUGCCCCUAGACAGAAGAUUGUUUCCGUAGUGCGGUUCUCUUAUAAGAUAGUUAGUUUCCUCAGCGUAAACCUAGUCUAAGUAUAGGCACCCCCUACUGGCGCACAACAAACCUAUUGAUGGGAUUGAAACCCGCGCCUAGUAUAUGGGACAACAACACCCUAGUAUGGUACAAAACACACCCCUAUUGAUUGAAACCAUAGUAUAUGGCACAACCCCUAGUAUGGUACGUAACCCUACCCCUUAUUGAUUGAUUUCCUCUCCUCGCGAGCCAACACCAGUAUUUCUUUCCUGAAACCAUAGUAUGGCGCAGCACACAGUAAUCACUACGGUCGACAUCCUUACAUGCAGAGAAGGUAGGUCCCGCCCCGGGCAGCGAAUUGCACUCGGGACCGCCAACACGCUGUGGGCGAAGUCUUCGGGCGAUAUCACUAUCAUAGUCAGGUGAUAUCACUAUCAUAAUCAGAGGUAUUACUAGAGAAACAGUAACGAACCGAACAUAGGCCCUUAUCAAUACUGUAAACCAACAACGAACAGGGAAAUCAACUCAGUGAACUCAACUAGGAACUGGGACUCUAGUUACUACUCAAGGAAUUUUGUAAGAAAAUGGGAAUUCCGCUGGUGCGGAAGUCCGCUACUUAUUAAUAAUAAUCAUAGGUGUGUUGGCGAGCGAAGAGGGUCAUAAUCAUGGAUGUGUUGUAGAGCAAGGAAAGGGGGGCCAUACUCUCAAACCCAUUGGAUAAAGGCGUCUAUAGGGCCUAGCCAUUUUCGAGUUGUUCAAUUGAGACCGCUCUACAGGGGCGUCAGAGUCAAUACGAGAAUGGAGCUCUACUGGCGCAACAGGGCUUUAACUAACAACUAGCCUAUUAGCACAAUUUCCAUUCUGAGUUUACUGCUGAAGCCCUUGUAGCCCUGUUGUUUGUCUACAACUUACUAUAAGCCUUGAUUCUCUUAUUCAGGGAACUUCUUCUUUGACUUAUUACUUUGAUUCCCAUGUGAGAGUUUGGGCCUGCCACUACGCUCUCGCACUCUUAAUAACCGGACAGCACAUAGAGAGCAGUGAUUUGUCUCUACAUCUACGCCGCUAAAGCCUUACUAGCAUACCAGCAAACUACCUCCCCUCGCCUUUAGUCUGACUAUCCUUUCUCUCAGUCACCAAGAGUAAGCUACUUGAGAAUAACCCCGGGAAUACAGACUUAUACACUGCCUAGUGAAUUCAUUACUAUCUGAGAAUACUUUCACUGCUACUGGAUAGAACACUGCCUCCCAAGCCUUACCGACCUAUUAAUGAAGAAUACACAUCCACUGACAACAAGGCAAUAGUAGCAUUUCAGAAAUCAAUAAACAAGUAAGAACAGCGUAGAGAGCGAGAUGAAGGAACUAAAGAAAGCAAGUAAGCAGAGGAAGAGUUCAAGGCGGGCUUAGCUUAGAUGCCGGGUAAGACUAUACCGUAAUUGGCUAUUGGAUUCCUUAUUCCUACUUUGAUUCUGAAAACACUAAUAAUAUUCUCUUAUAUAUAAUAAUAGUAAGUGACUUAUCUAUCUAUUGUAUUUGUAUUGGAAUUAUGACUUAAUUGCAUUGAUUUCAGCCUUGUUAUCUAUACCGCUACUAUAUCUUAAUGCACUGGAUCAUCAUACCUAGGAGCGGAAGAAUGAAAAGAAGCAUAGCGAGAAUAAAAGGCGAGAUAGUUAGUGAGAGUUGGAGGGCAGCUUUGGGUUCCGUAGUUUGGAUUCCUUGUUUGGUUUGAUUCUCUAACACUGACGUCGGAUCCUGGCUUUAUUAGUAGGAGGGAGCUACAGGGGUUCAAGUUGGAUUGAUACUAAUAUGGUAAUAGGGAAAGACAGAUUUUACGCCGAAGGAGGGAAGUGGAAAGCAAAGAUAUAGACUGCAGGCAAGCGUAGUCAGAAUCGAGGUGGGUUCGGUUCAAUGAGCGGCCCCAAAAACAGGAAUGCCGAGCAGUAGUGCUAGGUUUAAAGCAAGGGUAGGCAGCUUCAGGUGCAGUAAAGGAAGUCCCUCUCUCUUUGCAGGCUUAGAAGUGUUCGGUAAGGCGGCAGCCUUUUCAGUAGUAUUUAGAGUCUAAUCGUUACUAGUGGAUUUCUUGUCCCACUCUAUCGAUCUUGUCAGUCACAGUUUAUUUCCCAGUUAGUGAAGUCAAUCUGCUUAAGUCGCAGUGUAAGCCCUAGUUUAUGGUUAAAGCCCUGUUGGCGUUAGUAUAAGUUUCGUUUGGGAGUUAGGAGUCAUGGACCUUAUUUGUAUUCGGGUAAUUCAAGAUAGGAAUAGCAGUUUUCUCUUUAGUAGCGGUAGGCUAAAAGCCAGCAACGGUAGACUUUAAUCGAGGAGAUCCGUACAAAGAGUAAUCUACCCGUAAAGCAGGAUCCCGAUCAGUAAGGUAAGUCCUAUUUAUAAGUUCCAGUAUUGUGCAGUAGCGGAGUGCUCCAUUCUUUUAUGCCCGGGUUCGAGUUCCAACCUUAUACUACUAAGCGAAACCCUUUAUUAUAAUGAGUAUUUGUCUAGUAGCCCUGUGUCUCUUACUUCUUAGCGCAAUUCCAAUUAUCCGUUAGUUAAGUCCCAGUUCCGAGCCUUAAGUGAGUCCAGCAGCUCCAAUCUGAUACGUGUAAUCCAUAUUGUUGACUCUUAUAUUGAUUCCUACAAGCACCUGUGCUAUUCUCUCCAGUAGCGAUUUCAGCCCUUUACUUAUUAAUUGGAUUCUUUUGAUACUGAGUUAGGCUCUAUGUGCCAAAGAAAAAACUGUAUCCUGUAUGUCAUAGUUCCAUUCCGAUUAUAAGUUAGUUAAGUCUAUUUCCCAAUGCACCAGGUCGUGUACCUUCGCGGUAUUAGUCUUAUAGUGAAUAGUGGAAUUGACUUGGUUUAAGCUUAAUAGGUCAUUUUCCAUAAUAAGAAGAUAACAUAGGUCUGUAGACGAGUGAAUUCACUCUCCUAAGCUGCUCCAUUAGUGGUUUUGCUUGUUGGGUUUACUGCCCUGCCCGUCUUUCUUGCCUUGCUUUUGAAUUCCUACUUUCUUACUUGAUAGCUGAAUUCUGCUUUUCGAGAUAAGAAGUCAAGGGUGGGCUUUCGAGAUAAUUAAGUACGAGAGUCUCUUUGUUUUUGUGCUUGUCUCUAAGCUCCCUUUAGCUAUUAAUUAGGACUUCCUAAGAAAGGACUUGGCCUGUUGCUUGGCCGGGUUUUACCAUAGGCACUUCUAAUGAGGUUUCGAAGAUGCUUUCUUAUCCUCUGAGUUAUUCCGAAUUUAGGAACUAUUUCUUCUUUCUGGUAGAGUUGGAAAAGGAACGAAUCGAGUGUGAUCCGCAGAGGCAGGCCGCGGCUACCGACAUGAGCCAAAGGCGGCUAAUGCCAAUCGCUUUCACUAGGAAACAAAGCAAGCUGUGGAGAAGCCCUUGAAUGAAGAGGAACUAUCUUUAUGGGAACGGAAGGGCUUUGACUAUCCAUGGGAACGGGCACGGAUGAUUGCCAUUGUCGCACCCUACAUACUCUGUUUCCAAGCCCUAAAUGGAAAGUCAGCAACAAGUGGAAAGGAAAGGAUAAGUCGGAAGUAAGCUGUAAAUGAAGGAGAGGCCCUUAUUGUAAGUUCCCCCCGUAGCGACAUCUUCUAGCUGAUGAUCCUAAUUAUGCCUUUCGCUUCUGCGCAAGAAAGCAGUUACAUCUGUUUCAUUGAACUGACAAGCGCUAAGACCUACCUACACAGCCGGAUUCUCAAGCCUCAGAUCCAUUUGAUUCUUCUGCUAUAUCGUAAUCUUUAGGCUAUCAUUUACAAGAUUCUAGGAUCGGGAGCAGGUUCAUCUGUUGUUUUCCUUAACGGCUUUUUCACUAACUAUCCAUAUGUCUAUGGCAGGCGUUCAAUAGCUAACAAGUUCUAAUGCUAAGCGCUUUUCCAAAGGUUAGAGCGAGUGAUCUGAUCAAGCUUUAGUAUUAGCUUGGGUGGGCUGGGCCUAUGUGGAUCCUUUCUCCGGUUCUUUUCUUUCUCUCUCUCUAUUUGGUUUUUCCAUUCCAUUUUCUUUCUUUUCUCUGCGUAGUCUCAUUCUCACCAGCCUUUGACUUGACUUUUCAUACUCUUUGGCAGUAGCACAUUUUCUUCGACUAUGGGCUAAACCUCUUCUUUUGUUUCAUACUAAGAUUCCGAAGAGAAUUCUCCCCGUAUAAGCCUCAGUUACAAACUUUCAAUAGAAGACAUGUCGGGUUCAAGUCUAUUAACCGAGCGAGCACAAAGCUCAAGGGGAGAGCAAUCAAUACAGUAAAGGCGGGCCUCUCAAAUAGAGAGAAUAAGGAUAAGAGAAUAAUGGAACAGAAAUGAACGACAACAACCUGAACUUUAUGCUCUAACUGCUUCCUUUCGAACUCCUGAUGAUUCUUCUCUUGCUAAAGAAUGGAAUGGAGCUAUUAAAUAUUUAUAGAUUAUAGGAUACAACCACUUUCCACUCACUUAUGGAAUAUAUCUCGCCUUGUCAUCAAAGAAUCUAUCUCGCAUAGUUAACAAAGAAUCUUUAUCGCAUAGUAUAGAAUCCAGUGUAACCAAUAACUACCUCGGGCGCCCUUGCAUUAAGAAAAGGAAAAGCAGAUUGAUAGAGGCAUCCGAACGCUAUACAAUAGUACUCAACUUGAUUAUUGCCGUUGUUUGUUUAAUAUGAGUUGCAUAUGAGAUAUAAGAAGGAUGAAUCUCACUGCUUGUUUGCGCUAACGUAUGAGUCGUUUUCUUUCGUAUUGGCUAACGCGAGGGUUCAAAAACUGUCUAAGGGAAGGAUCUCAAUAGGUCAAUAAAGGGCAUUGAGCUCUAAUAUCAUAAGUAUUAAUUGGGAGAGCGAGAUAGAGACAAAUACCAAAUGGGGGCGGUCAAAAAGCUUUGCUACACUUCUGUCUUGCUGCUCAUUUCGAUUCUCCCGCACACACGCGCUCUUGCAAGGCUAGCCUUAAGUGCUUUUUCGGGCCCACUUCCCUUUGGAUAUUAUGAAAGCCAGUUCCUCGUGAUAGUACAUGUGGGAUUUCUUUGGUUAUCCAGGUACAAUAAAUAUGAUUGUGGGAACGAGUAAAAGGUGAGAUUUGAGUUCCUUGCGAGGAGACUUACAAGAAUUUCUACUAUAGUCUAAUGGGAUUGAUGCUGAGAGUCUAAUGGGAUUGAUGAUGAGCGGGCAAAAGCUCCGGCCGAGGGGUGAGACCCCGCUUUUUUCUUGGCACGAGAUGCCGUUACACCAUACAUGAUAGGUGAAAGACCAAGCCCAAACCUCGAUUACAUGGGAUUUCGAUGAUUCACUGCCGAAAGCUACUUAUUGUACGCUAGCACUUGAAGUAGGUGCGUUUUCGUCGUCUUUGCAGAUAUAAGAUCAAAUCAGAAAUGUCUUUCUCUCUUAUAUGCCAUUGAUGAAUAUGAAUAGCUUGGGAAAAGACCUGAAAUCCUACCUUUCAGCAUUGAAAUAAAGAAAGUGGUGGGCACAAAGAAGAAUUACAGACACCAAAGAGAGGGCAGGGUCGCUUAUGGAGGGCUUACUUAAAGAGGGCGAAGAGGUCGUCCCUCGAAGUAGCUCUAUACUAUUUUAGGACAGAAUACCAUUAUAGUGCAGUAGGUAAAAAGACCUACUAACGAGAAUAAGGAGGGAGUUAAUCGCUUCUGGGUAGCAUCAGUACCGGCAUAACCUUUUGAUUUACAAUAAAGAAAGGACUGGUAUUUCACUAGUUGAUACGAUUGAGUCAAGGACUGGUAUUUCACUAGUCGAUACGGUUUAGUCAGUUGUUGCUUCGGUCGAAGUGGUAGUAGCAUCUCUUCUCUAUAAAGAGACAAGUUUGGGCUUUCCCUGUACAAUAUACCAAGUAGAUCCAGUUUCUUAUGCCCGAGCUCAUGGUAGGGAUUCCGUUUAUGGCAUAAGGUUCAGUUCCUUAUCUAGAAGCAUACCUGGAUAUGUACUCAUCUCCUCGUGGCUUCCAUACCUAUCCAAGUUGGAGUUAACAGCAUAUCAACUCAAACUAGUAGACCCAUAGCGAGACCGAGUUAUCGUAGAGAUUCAUACCUUACAUGUGAUCGAGACCGAGACCCCUCCCGCGAACCGCUUGCUGCUUUCUUUCGAGCAUUAACUGGAGUUUCUAUCAGAAUUCCAUAGAUACCAUUGCCGGUGAUCGCAACUAUGUCCAUUCCGUUCUGGCUAGCGAUGAGGGGAAAACUAGCCCAAUGUAUGGUCCGCGCCACCUACACGACUCACUACAUAGGUAUAGGGAAAGCAGGAGAAUCCGGUUGCUCAUUCCAAAAGCCAGAAUGCGGAGCCUAUAAAGCAAGAUGUUCAUCUCCUGUUGGAUAAGGAGACCUAAAACACCAUUCAAGGUUGUCAGGUCGGUAACAAAGGGCCAUCAUUCUUUUGAAUUGGGGUGCCAUGAAUAAUCCACUUGCCUAGCUGACGUUACCAUCCCAAAAAGAGAUGCCUCGAUCGGUGCGGUAGCCACUAUAGGGAGAAUGUGUUGUGAGACGACCUCCCGCGAUGAGCCUUCUAUUUCCUUGAUGUUACACAGGAUGCGCAACGGAGGGUGGAUAUAGGUUACUUAGAGCAUUACAUUAUAAAGAAAGAUAUAGGUUACUUAGAGCAUUAUAUUAUAAAGAAUCGAAAUGAGAACCAAGGAUUACCUAGGGGCGGCCUUGAACCUGCUUCGCAAAGCUCCCCGCCCAGGUUAAAGCCUUACUUGUUGGCUCCUAGUUAACACACUGCAUUUGACACUCCUUAGGGCGUAAGGGGGAUAGUUCUUCAAUACCAAGGCGCUAACAGCAACAGUUUACGGCUUCUUCGAUUUCAAGACGAAGUCCUUUCUCGUGACAACGACUGACAUCCCCUAACUUUGGCAAGUUAACCAAAAAGUACGCUCUUACCGCAGCUUUGGCAAAGGCUACUCGCUCGUGGUAUACUUUGCUCGCUCUGACGCCUACCUCCUUUACUACAUAAAUCCAACUGCCUGCCAGCCUUGACAGAAGAAGCAGUGCCCUCCUUCAAUGUGUUCAAAUACUUUCCAUUUUGUGUCCUGAGAUGGCACAUCAGUAAUUUAAACACUCUAUGAUAACAUCAAUCUGGCUUGGCCCAUAGAGGCUGUGUGAUUGGGGGAUCGUUAGCGGAGCAAGGUAGCCAGAGCUCAUGGUCCAUCAGAGGCGCUAGUUGCUAGUUCGUUUGACCGAUCGAUUAAGUAUUAGAAUCCAGAAGUGCACAGCACACUCCACGGAAUAAUGAAUAGAAUGAACUAGAUACCAAUAUCCCUGGAACAACUUUCAAAUAAACUCCAUCUUUGUCUACCCGACUUUGACUGGUAAGAGUAGCCGUUCCCUGUGUCUUUGUUUAUAUUGCAAAAGAUCUCAUCUACUCACAUUCUGUUCUGCGAUAUUGGAGAAUCACCGUCAAUACCUCUAAGUAGGUCCGGGAUAAUCCUAAGUAUGGGGGGCAAUUUACAACUAUGCCAAUGAAUCUAGUACUUGCAAGUCAAUCUUUUAUGCAGUCAUCGAUUCUUGCGAGAGGCCACAAUUCCCGCGACGAGGAACGAUUUGAUGCAGAGGAGUUAGUUUCGAAAGUAAAGUUGUCUCGAAUUAGCAAACUGUGUAGAAACAUACUGGUAUAUUCCUGUUUGUAUAUGAAAGUGAGCUAGGCCCCGGGUAAAGCUACUUGGAAUUACUACGGAACCGCUUAUCAUUGAAUGUAUUGAACGAUGAAAUGUAUCCCCGUUCGCAUAGUUUCUAUGACUACCUAAGAUUUCGUUCAGUCUAAUAGAAGUUGACACCUAUUACAGCUCGUACAACCUUGAGUAAGAAGUGAAUUGAGACUAUUUAAGUUACAACUCCCGUCCUCCACAUUCUUGAAGUUACAACUCCCUUCCUCCACGGAACGAAAAGUGUUACUUCCUUACAUGGACACACCUCUUAUCUUUCCUUAGCUUCGGGUAAACUCACUUUCUUUUACUUGAGCCUAAACUUGACCUUUGACCUUGCUCUGGAACCUGGAGAAGGCAGUCCUAGGCCUAACUCAACUAUUAGAGAGCUCCGCUCAGAGGCAUCCCCAAGACAAUCUUUUGAAUCUUACCUACUUUCAAGCUUCUUCUCUUUCGCCCUUGCGCAUUAGCUAAGCCGUUUUUCCGCUUAGGUAGUCAAACCCAUGUGUUACGCCUAUAAGGGUAGAGAGGGUCAAUCAAGAAUUCAAUAAAGUAGUAACGCCCCAUAGACAUUACAUUAUAAGAAAACAACAAAGAGUCUAGUUCUCUCAAUCCCUGCCUUCCGCCUGUCUCUACGUCUCAACUAAUAUGGAAUUGACCAAUAGGGCUUAGCCUCCUUACUUAGGGACUCGAACUCAAAACUAGGAAUUCCGCUCACUCUUGCCCAUCUUCUCUUUCUCUUUCUCUUUUACGACUUUGACCACUUAGUGCUUCCUUGCCAAUAGUUUCUUCUGCCCUGAACCGGAACUUACUAUAAGGCCUCUCUUCUUGCCCGACGCCAACAAAGAAAGAUUAGACUAUAACCUGGUGCUUCUGCUUCCGCUCUUGAAGUUAUGGAAUCCCUUGUUGAAGUUGAAUAGCUGGAGGACUAUACUAUUUAGGCUCAAAUGCAUUUCUACAGCGGAUAGGAGAGCAAGAUGACCGAUUCAUUCCACAGUCGUCAGAGGCUCAAGAAUCACCAGAAUACGGAUACAGAUCAGAGGCUCAAGUAAGUGGUAAGCGAGAAGGAACAGUUGGAUUCUUCAGCAAGGUGAAGUGUAGGUCGAGUGUCAAUUCCUUUCGUUUCACAUAGAAGAAUGAUUUGUUGUGGACUCUAAGCCAUAAACUCGUCCUGUUGUCGGGUCUUCAAUCAAUAAACCAGUGGAUGUCGGUUCGGGUGCUCAUGCUCAAACUUCCGAUUACGGGUCGGGUUCGAGUUCAAGUUUUCGUUGAUUUGGAAGUGCAAUUCCAUUAUCUUCUUUUUGAUUCCGUUGCACGUUAGACACUCGGUUAAGUCUGUUUUCCCAGAUUGAUUUGACGACGCUGGAAACCCAUCUGACACUCUGCUGAUGGCUAAUCACCUAUCUUGCCUUGCUGCCCUUACACUCCUUUCAAUGCAUUUUGAUACUCGCAUUCAUCAGUAUACCGCGCACGCACCCUACACAUCUACUGUUGGAUUUCUGGAUUGAUUUCUUUCCCGAAUAAGCAAGUGGUAGAGAAAAAACAAGGGAACUAGUUGCGCUAACAGAGUUUGACAGAAGGGAUGCAGUGUAUUUACUAAGAUCUAUACCAUAUGCUCAAAAUAGAGAUUCAAUUGAUGGGGGGAACUUCAAGAUAGCUGUAGAGAACAAGCAAGUUGAGUCUGGUAAUAUUACAAACAUAUAUACUCAUAGGGGCAAGUUCUAUUUCAAUGUUUCAUUAAGGUUUCCUCGGCGCUAACAGAGUUUGAAAGAAAGAGUAGAGUAUUGAAUAGUACCGGGUAAUAUUCCUAUAAAUUAGACUAUGCGAAAGAAAGAAAGAAUCCAUGAAUGAAAUGUGACAGUUGACUCGGCUAGGUAGUGAGUUGCGUGCGCUAAGGCUUCUGUUUACAGUUCCAAUUUGAUCUGAUCUGCGAAAUGGAUCUGCGCUUACUGAGUUAUUGGUUUAGUUAAGGUAAGAAGAUAGUACCAGGUAAGUUAAGGUAAGAAGAUAGUACCAGAUAAUAAUCUUGAUAAAGUCGAUAAAGUAAAGUACUGGCUUGCUUUGCUGCGAGGUUAAGUGGAAAUAGGUUCGGUGCGAGUAAGGUUGCUAAUUGAGAUUACUGUUGUUGACUCGAAUUGUGCCGGAUCUUCUUGUCUUUCUGUUCCAGCAUUGUCUGCAUCUGCAAGAGAAGUAAUUGGCGGAGCGGUGCGAGUUCAUUGUGGACAGAAUGCUUAGCCCAUGUAGCGGAACUGGUUGAAACGUAGCCCACGGAGCGAAGAUCCACCCGUUACUUAUAUUCUGGUUCUGUUAUACUCUAUAUCAAUUUGGUAGUAACCCUUACUCUCAAUAAACGUUACGAGCAUCUUUCUCUCAUUCUCAUUGCUUACUUGAAGCUUCUUCCCUUAUGCUUGCUUGAAAACGGACUUUUGGACUUUCUCUUAGUGGGCUAAAGGUCUAUGAAGGAAAGGAUGCUAACUCACUUAUGGAAUGGAAUCCAGCGUUCCACUUAUAGAAUCUAGUAACAACACUCACUCUAGAAACUAUCUUCUUUAGUGCCGUUGCCUAUUUACUUGUUCGCGCACACUGUAUAGAAAGUUGGUUGUAACCUAAUCUGCUUAUUGAAACCGGACUGCUUACUCUCUUUAUUGAAUAUAGUCUAAACUUACUUUUGAUUCGAACCCAGAAACAGAUAUACGGCGCAAACUAAGGGACAAGACAAGAUAGCAAGCAAGAAGAAGAAGUGCAUUGUAGAGUUCAAAGCAAGCUAGGGCUUUCGCAUACUAAUGAAUGCUCAAAGGCCUUCUGUACAAAAGUAGUUUCUUUCGUAGGAGUUUCUUGUAUCUUUCUGUUCGAGUGUAGCGGAGUUGAUUUAUGGGUUUGACCGAGUUGUGGUAGAGUAAGGUUUCAAGUUGGGUGCUAGUGUUUCAGUAUAGAAAGGUUCUUGCUUGGAGUUAAGGGUAGUGAGUCGGCCUAUGAUUCAGGGAGGGUGCAGCUUACUAUGAUUAGGGUGCUGUUGACUAUAUUGAGGGUGCAGCUUACUAUGAUUAUAUCUGAUCUGUUGUUUGCCCUCGCGGGGAUACCAGCUAGGGAUAAUAUACCUCUAAUCUUUUUGAAGUCCUAUUAGCAUCAUGCACUAUUUAUUGAAAUAAGGCAAGAAAAGAACAAGCCACAGAACAAUCCUUAUUGAAAUAAGGCAAGAAAAGAACAAGCCACAGAACAAUCCAAUCAGAUAGCUAGCGUUCUCCUAAACAAGCAAUAGAAUAAGAUAGCUAGCGUUCUCCUAAACAAUCCAAUCAGAUAGCUAGCGUUCUCCUAAACAAGCAAUAGAAUCUUAUAGUGUUCUCCUAAACAAGCAAUAGAAUAAGAUAGCGUUCUCCUAAGAUAGAAGGUUAUGAAAAACUCUGUCCUUACUUAGUGGACGGACUUAUUCUUAUGUUUGUUAGUCGCAUUCCUGUCUGUGAGUUAGAACCUUUAACUACUUGUUUGGAGUCUGCCUCCACUUGUAUUAAGUGAGUAUUUCCUUUCUUGGAUUUCUUUACUCGAGUUAGGGCCUUACGCUCCUUUAUCUCAAGCUGACUAUCUGAAGUUACUGAUGUGGGUGUUUUCAGUCCUCUUAGUUUCGAGUGAGUUUGAUUCCCUUUUUCUUACCUUAGAAUUGGAUUCCUCCGAUCAACAGCUCCAUUCUAUAUUUCUAGUUUCUAUGUCACAGUGAAAACAUAGGUAGCACCCAUAGGUUUCUUCUAAUCCUUAUAUGCGCUCAGAGAGAGCAUACUUUUGAUGUCAUAGGUUGAUUCUUAGAAGCAGUGAUUUUCAUUCUCUUCCUUCUUGGAGCUUUACUCUUUUAGGUGGUAGUCGUAUUCUUUUCCUUAUUACUUACAUUCUUUAUGCCUGCCCAAAACUAUAUUCUUUCGACUAAUGCUAAUUCUCAUAUCCCAGCAAAGGUCUUAUACCCAUAUUCGAUUCUGAUUAUUGAUCUUAAUACUUAAUGCGCUACCUCGUACCCCGUUCUCUUACUCCGAGUAGAUACCCUCUUGCGCUUGGUUCAAUCUUGUUACCCGGACAGUCACUUCUUAUUCUAAGAUAAAGUAUUCGAAGCAGUGUUUUCAUACGGCAGGAAGACUAUGAGGUGAACUAAAGAAUGAAAGUGGACUGGCAACUGGCAGUUCACCCAUAUGGUAUGGAUUCUUCAACGAAUACUUAGAUCGAACAGCUGAUUCUUUAACGAAUACUUAAAGGGAACAGAGUGAAGGGAGCUCCUAGUUUAAUAUGAUAGCGAGUAAUUUCAGUCCAAUAGAGUGUUUCGGCUGCCAGGCGAGCAAUCGAUCGUAGCAGCUUUAGUUUGGAAGUCAGUAUCCAAAUCAGUAGUUAGGCAUGUAAGGUUGUAGGGGAAAGUUUGAAAACAAAGAUAGGCAGGCAAGGCAAAGAAGAAAUAGCUAUGAAAAGCAGACGAAAGGGCAGUUGCGGAAGAACACAGCUAAGUAGUCUGUCUUGGACAGAGGAGUAGCAGCCUUGUCAGUAGUAGGGGGAGAGUGGCCAGUAAGCUUAGGUGCCCAGCAGUCGGAUCUAGUAGUGAAAGCUCUUUUAGUGGUAUGUGUAUUCCAUAUUCCCAUUUUGAUUAUCGUUAGCAUGGGGUUGAAUCCUGUUGGCAUUAUCUCAGUUUCAAAGCAAGAGGAGUGAGGCUUAAGGGAAGCAGUGCCAGUUGGAAGCUAACCCCGAGGAAGGUCAGUUAGUAGUGUUUAGCACCCGGUAGGACAGAACGAAAGUCAGGUGUUUUGGUUUGGAAGCAAAGAGGGAUAGGCUAACUUACGUGUUUAGUAGGUCUGUUACUGACUUGUUUGGUGGGUUUGGUACUAUUCCCGGGUACACUAGAUUCGUACCCCUUAGUGCUUUUCUUUUUGUGAUGGUUCAAAUUCUUUUAACCAGUAGUUCCAUUAUCUUCUCUUAUUAUGGGGCUUGGCUACCGGAUUGAUUAAGAAGUCCGUCUUGGUCCGUAGGGGUAGAUAGUCAGACUUAUUAUCUGGGGAACGUCAUAGUCAAGCGGAAUAUCAUCAUGUCGGGUACAAGUCUAAUCCUUGUGGGGACUUGCUAAAGAACUAAAGUCAGUAGCGCCAGACUCAAAGCAAGGCUCAGAGGCAGUACAGUAAGAGUAAGAGUACGGAUGGAAGACAGGAGCGGUAGACUGAAAGACAGGAAUUACAGGUGCAAAUAGAAGUAUGGGCAUGGAAGCUAGAGGGGCCGUUUUUCACUCACAAGUGGGGCUCGGGCUAUUGAGUCGAAUUCCAUGUUCUUCUACUUAUUCUUGUGCUGUGUGGCGCUGUAUCAUGUGGGUACUAUCUAUUUCUUUUUGGAUUCUCCCAUAAGUAGGGUACACAGCCCUGGAAACCUUAGUUGCAGGCUUGGAAGCAGUAGUUACUGUUUGAUUCCCUUAAGUCACUUACCAUAACUCGGAUAAGCAAGCCAUAAUACCAAAAUAUGCUAUGUGGAAUAAGUAGCCUAUAAUAGUAAUAGGAGUUAAAGCGAGUAGUUUAGGUUGGAAAGGCGGAGUUGUUUUCCUCGGGAUGUAUUAGAGUAAAAGCCAGUAGCUACAGAAUGAGUCCCGGCCACUAUGCCUAUAAGUUGUAGUUGACUCCCGAGUUCCUAGUAUAAGUCUUUGUCGUCGUGUUUUUGUUCGCAUUUCUAUUCUUGGAGGCAUUAAUUGCAGAGUGAAAGGCGCUGUUUGGAAUUUCCACUAAUAGGGUAGAGGUCGGUGCCCUAUCUACUAUUCCGUGUUGGGAUGCUCAGUCAGAAUCAAAGGUAUAGUGGGUGUCCCCAUAGAGUUAGUUCUUUUACUGCGUAGUCUGGUUCUUUAUUGAUUUUGUAUUUAGUUAUUAGUUGACGUUGACUAAGAUGAUGUACCUUACUCAUGAGGUUGGUUCUUAUCGAUAGUAGCUCAAUUCUACACAGUGGUGUUAUCAGCCUUGCAAGUACCAGUUCCAAAGUAAGGUAAAGAAAAUGCACCGAUCAUCUGAAAACGUACUGAUUGUCCAACAGCUUUUUGGUGCGCGGAGACUUCUAGAUACAGGACUUGCUCAUGACUGUGACUAUCUACUUAGUGGAGCUCCUUAAAAUGAGUGUAAUCCCGAGUUUCAUCCGUUCAAGCUUGAGUUGAGGUCGGCAGGAGUUGGUCUAGACAAGCAACGAAGCAGGAAGGAAAGAAAUCCAGUGGGGAGCUCAAUUCUCCGUCGGUGGGUUAAGCCUUUGACAGCUGGGUUCCAGUCUGAGGGAAGCUAGUUGGAGUCUGUCACUCUGGAGAGUAAGCCUGAGUCCGGGGAGAGUAAGCCUGAGUCCGGUCGGUUCCAUUCUUCGGUCUGACUUCUUAGUUUCAUGCUUGCCCUCACUAGUUCUAUUCUGUUACUACUUACUAUGUUACAAUUCUUUCACAACUAACUGGAGACUUUGGAUACCUAUACCUAACCUAACCAAACUAGUCAAAUCAUUCCACAACUACUGCUAGAGCACCAACGACACAAGCACCAGCCUGGACUUCACUCGCACCCCCAAUAGGCUAAACUCAGUACUUACAGACAGGAAAGGGAAAUCAACCUCAAAGCCCUAUUCCGACAUAUCCACCGUGGGAAGCUAUUCUACGUUACUUGUCGGGUCAUAACCCUCCAAUCUCCUAUAUAAGAUAUAAUAAUGAGGGGAAGGAAUGUUUCAAGUUAACUAGUUAGGGUAAGAACAAGUGCUUACGGAGUUUAUAGAUCAAUUCCAGGCGAGUGAACAGGCUCAACAAGACUCUGUAGCGUCAGAGAGUUCCGUAAGUAAAGUUUAAGUGUAAGUUUCAAGAUAAGGAUAAAGUAAGGAAGCUGCAAAAACACAGUACUUUUGAAUAACUCUAGUACAGUUGCUAACUUAUAUUACGGUUGGCGACGAAGCAGCAAUCGGUUCUUCAAGGAGAGGUCAAUCAGUAUCCGGGGUCUGUUUCGGUUAAGAAAUCCAGUAUUAUUGUUCGGGGCUGUUGUCGGUUAUGAAGCUAUACCCGGAGUAGGAGAUAAGAUGUUAGGAAGCCACAGGGGUAAAGGUUAGGCAGCUUUACCGAGCUGUUACAAGAUCUGGUGAGGAAGCACUAAGUUCAUGAGUUUCACUAUAUUAGUAGGAAGCCAACUCUCGAAUCUCAUGUCCACGUCUGAGGGUAAGUCGAAAGCUGCAAGUAGUAGUAAGGCCAUCAAUCGUUUCUGUUCUUAUUAGAAGAUUUCAUUUACAAAAGAUCAGUGGUCUAGUCAAAGCAUUCUUUUAAGGUGAAGCUAAGGCGGAGGCAUAGGCAUAGGCUUCAGGUUCAGAUUAGGAUCAAAGUAAAGCACAACAGCUGCUACUAUAGCUGGAAAGGCUUUCUCAACACAACAGCUGCUACUGUAGCUCGCACAAGCACUUCUGGAAUUCUACAUUCAUUUGGAACGGAACUCUCCUCCCAGCUUGUUGCUGACUUGUUCUCUAUUCUCUUUUCUUCUGCCCUGAACCCGAAAGCGUCUGAUUGAGAGCGAAAGUAUACAAGUGUAUAAUUGGACCCUAUUAUAUACUAUGUAUAUGUGCUCGAUAACAAAAGAGUUCAACCCAUUUGGACUUUAGAAGUGCGCAAUUAGAGUGGAGUUUUAGAGUUAGUUACAAAGUAUUAGUGUGUAGGUACCGAUAAGUUCUUCUAUGGUUCAGAGCGGGACGGGAUCGGUAAGCUAAGUACUAUAAAUCGGGUGUUGAGCCCGCCUCGAAAGAAGGGCGUUAAGCCUUCACCAAGUGGUGGUAUGGUACAAAGAAUGGAGUUCUUCUCGCUAACUGAGUCUUCGUUGAUUUUGUCAGUUCAAUUAGGGCUCUAAAGCAGCAAAGUCAGAAUGAAAUGCAAACUUCAGAAUUAGCCGGAGUGGAGGGAUGUCAUAGAUUUGGGUAGGAUAACUAGCCCCCCUGUACAGUGUUCUUUCUCCCCCUCAAAGAAUAUAAGAAUGAGGUUUCCGGUUUGAAGUUAGAAUGGAACUGAGUGCACAAAGGAAGAAUUCAACGACAAAGUAAGAGGAUUGAUCCGCGCGUAAGGAGUGUCAAUGAAAUGUUUCAUGCGAAGGAAGUAAGUCAGCAGUGACAUCAGAAGUAAGCGUUAGUGAGCCCGGGGAUAUCAAUUUGGUAAUAAGAGCUCUCAAGAAGAAUCCAAAGUUUUCAAAACCCCGUGCAAACUCGCUGUGAAACAUACUCUGUUACUCCACUCACUCCUCACUCUGAAACGGACUAUGUUACUUAUGUCUGUAGUCCUGACUCAACAAGCAAAGAAUAUACAUACGAUCUUGCUGCUGCCUUAGCGGUUGCAGGUUAUUUUGCCGAACUAACUCUUCCUCUGCUUCUUCCUUUGUCUCUCCUUUCUUCCUCUGCCUACAGUGGGGUGCGAGGGCUUGUCUCUGCUCUUAUUCACCUCCUGCAUAGUAUAUAUGGGUCUCUAGAGGUAUAAUAAUAUAGAUUCUUUGUUUAACUGUAACGUGAGUAACUGAAAGAAGAGAGAAUCUCCCUUUUUCAAUCAUAUCCUCGUAUGUCAAGCAAUUACUCUAUAUCUCUUAAUCCCCGAAUCCAUAUAUAUACUAUUUAUGCAGUAUGGAGCCAUCGUCGCUUUCAACAUCGCGUAAGGUCCGAGUUCCGUUUGUUUCUUUCCUCCGCUCAGUACCUUGAUCCAUCCCGGUGUGCUACCCUAGACCGCACAAAACAAUGAAUGGACCGAACCACAGCCUUCUCGUCUAGCAUCUACUAAUCCGUUGAACAUCAAAACCAACCAGGAGCGCUGGCCUCGUGCAAGGGUGAUUUGCGGUGUGACAGUUUUUCUUGUCUUAUCCGGAUUUUCGAGAACUAGUUUCUGUGAUUAUUAUAUGAUAAUAUUUUCAAGUCAAAGAAAUCAGAGAAAAGAUAGAAAAUCCAUACUGCCAAAGAUGACAUGCCAUUGGAUUAUGGGUGGUCGGUGCGUAGGUAGAACAACUGUAAGGGUAUAGUGGGUGUGUAGGUGGAGCAACUGUAAGGGUAAUGGGUGUGUAGGUAGAGCAACGGCAGCUCACUUACUUUGUAUCCGGUGGGGCAGUAAUCAAUAUAGAACCCGGGCCGGGCCUAGGUAUUCAAUGGUAGUCAAUAUAGAGCCCGUCGAGGGUAGUCAAUCCUCAUCAACAAAUCAGAAAUCAGGUAAAAGAUAGAUAGAGAAUUUAGGAGCCGAAUUAAGGUAGAAAGAUAGAGAAUGUAGGAGCAGAAUUAGGGUGGAAAGGUAUAGAAUGUAGGAGCAGAAUGAAGGUGGAAAGGUGGAGAAUGGAGUUGACUUAACACUGGCAUAAUGACCUGAAUUCCAAGAAAAACCGAUCGCUCAAGUACACAGAAAAACGAAUGAAAAACCACUUCUCUCUCCACUCUAGUGAUAGCUUGGCCCGCUCUAAGAUACAGGACGUAGUUGUGAGUGACUGGAUGUAGCUUUUUCGCCUCUGAUACUGAUCUCAGGAAUAGGGCUAUAGUGCAUAAUUGCUAGCGCAUUGGAAUACAAGGAAUGAUAUGUCUUUACAGGAUUCUAUAAGAUGUGCUCCCGAUAUGUCUUUACUGGAUUGGAUUCUAUAAGAUGUGCUCCCGAUAUGUCUUUACUGGAUUCUAUAAGAUGUGCUCCCUAGUGGAGGGAUGCUUUAUUCUGAACGGAGAGUUUCUUGGGGUGCGAGGCGAGGAAAGGAUACUCAAGCUAUAGAACACAGGACUUUAGCCAACACCAACUGAGUCUACUAAGUAUUUGUUGACAGAGGAGAGGAGCCCGAGUUAGAUUAGAUGAUAGCCAGAGCAGAGAGAGGCAAGAGAACCAGUGCGGGAGGUGGGCAAGUAGGAAAGUUAGAAUCAAACCACUAAAUCCAAGCCUGAAACAAGUGCAUCACAGAUCGAAAGCAGUGAAUCCAAGGCUCCAACCACUGCUACUAAGACUACACCCAGUAACUACGCUUCUGAUAUGGCUACUUAAGAACCAAACCAGUGUCACUCAGAACCAAACCAGUGCAUCUCAAGGACAAGAAUGCAACCGGGGAAUCAGGGUAUGGGCCGCUAAGGGAUAGAACGGAGCCUCUCUUUAGGUAAUCAGAAUUGCACUCACUCAUCACAGAACCAACCCACUGGUAGAUAGUAUGGGUAUUGGUCGCUAGGGUCUCUAACCACUAACUAGCAGACUGAUACUGGGUAGCUAGGGAACGAAGCUAAGGAGUGACAGAAUCAAACCACCGAUACAAGGAAUCAAAGCAGUGCUUCUAAGUCCGAUGCUAGGUAUUACUCGUAUGGGACUGAUGCGGUGUCUACUGAUUCUUGGUAUUGGUACUACUGGUAUUGGUACUGAUGCGGUGUAGCUAGGGUCUCUAACAAGGUAGCUCGGGUCUUAAGCAAGGGCUUGCUCAGGCUACAACCACUGUAAGCAAGAAUGGAUUAGUGAAAUGUAAGACUGAAGCUAAGUAGUUAGAGAAUUGAGCUGAUCGGGGUAAGCCUGAAAGCAGUGCCAACAAGUAUGAUACUAACCGGUCUUCUUCUUGUGUUGUUGUCCUCUCUGCUAGGUAUGUCGCUAAGGUAUCUAACCACUGUUGCUAAGGCUUGAACCGGUAACAGCAAGCCUGAUAUUGGUGUUGCCUGGACUGAAGCUAAGGAGCGAGAGAAUGAAGCUGAUCGGUGGCAGGCAAAUGCUAGAUAUACUCAGACUGAUGCUCAUAUGACUCGGAAUGGAGCUAGUGAUGCUAAGACUUAAACCAGCGCAUCUAAGGCUGAUACCGGUGCUACUCAUAAUGCAACUAGUGAACCGAAGCCUGAUGCGGUGUCUGCUAAGACUGGUGUGGGUGCUCCUCAGACUGAAGCUAUGUAUUUGUACUAGUGGUACUGAUGCGGUGGCCUGCUAGGUAUUGGUAUGCAGCUACUCAGCCUGAUGCUGGUGCUAGUAAGAAUGCAAUCAAGGGUAACGAGUAUGGGUACGGAGCCCGAGUCGAGGUCGGAAAGGGGACAAGCGUAUACUAGAGCAAGAAGGAUUCCGCUAAUGUUGAGGCAAGAAGAUAGUCUAGUUCAAAAGCAAAUGCAGAAUAUGGGUAAUAAAAGAUCUAAAGCAUAAGCCGGGCAAGCGGAAAAGUAGUGCAUCAUCAGAACCAUAAGCAGGGAAUCCAGAGUGGAAUCCUAAGUUAAUAGCUAAGGCAAUAGGCAGAGGGAGUGGCAGAAGCUAGUUCAAAGGCAAGGGACGCUGUGCUUAAUAAUAGGGCAGAAGAAGAGGCCCAGGAAGCAGUUAAGUAAGAAGUAGAGGCAAGGAAAGUGGAGUCGACAAGAUCAGAAGUCGUUUACAAAUCCUUAGUAGGAACAGGCUAGGAAGCAAGCCUACAAGAGAAUUCGCUGCCCUAGGUGGUGUUGCUCGAAAGUCAAGUUAAGGCACAGCUGCAAGAUCAGUGCGGAGUUUCGGUAACUAUAGGCCCUAUCAAAUUAUAUAUGAUCUUAUAAGAGAGAAUUCCAGUGAGGCCCAGCAACCACUAAGUCUUUUGUUCGAGGGAAAGCAGUGGCAUACAAUCAAUCAGUUCAAUUCUGGCUUCCCUCGCCUGUGGUGCAUACUAAAUAGUUCAAUACCGGCUAUCUCUCUUCUUAAAGGCAGGUUCCACUCUAUUCUGUAAUUCCUCCUUUGACCUGUCACUGGUAAUUCUUAGGCUACAUCUAUGUUAGUGCUAGAGUUACAGGCAAUUCAAGUCGACCAGAAAGAGAGGUGGGUUGGUGCAGUACAGAAUCACAGGACUUCGCCUCUCUCUCCUCUAGCUACAACAACAAAUACAGAAUUCCACCGGGUAGUCCAGAUGUACUAAGUGCGGUAAGUCUGUAAACUCAUACGGAUGAAACUGGGCUGGGCUCGCUGACCAAAGAAUGAAAGUGGUGAGGCCGAGCAACUACUAGAGCAAUAAAGAGAAGAAUCUAGAGCAAUAAAGAGAAUAACCUGACAAAAGCAAGUACUUUACCUCGCAGCAAAGCAAUGAACUUAGUUCAACAAGUAUAGAGUAAGGAGCAAGUCAAGUAUCCGGGAGUUAUGAGCAAGUCUUUCCUCAAUCAAUUCCUUUGCACUUAAGUCAUUGGUGUCGCUAAAGAGCUGCUCCUGUUAUGAAGAAGUCCUGUUUUGUGUUCGUCUUCUCUUUCCACUGUAGUAUACGCUUGGCUGACUUAGUAAUAUGAGUGGAAUUCUCUAUGUAUUGGCCCCUAGCCUGAGUCGAUGUUUUCUCAUAUGAGAAUGGAAUCUGAUACUGGGUUUGUGUUGUUGGACUAAUGGGUGGUAGAGCAGACCUAAGGUAAAGGAAAGUCAGACCAGUGGAGGGUAGCGAAAGUUGGGGUCGAACUCCAGUUUAGUCAAGUAAUUACCCCGGCAGACAGCUAGGUUGUAAAGUGAUACUGAUAGGCAGGAGAGGUAUACUUCAAACAAUGAGUCAAAGAAUCGUAUAAAGCAAUGUCAGUUUGCAAGGCGAGAGAGGUGGGCUUUAACCCCGGAGUAACAGACCGAUCGACAGGUGAAUUAUAAUAGUUAAGGGAAGGAGGACAGUCUGGAUUCGUGGAUUGAUGCUUAUAAGUCGCUCAAUUACAUCGACCCUUGUUUCCAGAUUACCGCUUAGAAGCUGGAGUUUUCGCCUGAGUUCCGUGCUUUAUUCCUUUGAUUAUAUGUUUGAUUCCCAUAGUCGUAUUCGACAGUUAGUAAAGUCAGUCUUGUCGGUAGGAGUAGCUUGGCCCGGUCUGAUACUAAUACUAAUAGAUUGAGUUCUGAUCGCCCGUAACAAACACUCUGAUACUAAUAGAAGUUCCAUUCUGUCUUUUGAGUUAUCGUAUUAAAAGAGCAAGCACGGAUUUCAUUCUGUCUAUUGGUAUACUAAUUCAAUUAAGAGCUUACACUUCCUAGUAGUUGUGUUCCCGGUUCAGUUCUGUUAGCCCGUGUUUCAUCUAUCAGAGGACUAGCCGAAGAGUUCAAGCGGAGAUCAAGUUUGUCAGUAAGGGCAGUAAGAGCGAUAGCUAUUAAAGCAAGGUUUGAGGUCGAGGGGGGUUUCACGAGUGCAAUUCUAUGUUAUACUACUUCUUCUUUAUCUAUAUGCUUCUUUAUCUAUAUGCUUCUUAAUCUAUAUGCACUGGAGCAUACCAUACCCUCUACUAUUGGUUAGUCCCAUACCCUAUGCUAUUAGUCCGCCCUAUAAAUUAGUGUUAGUUUACUCAGCCCUUCCCCCAACACCCAUAAGCCUUGAGCGUGGGGAGUCAUAUUUGAUAUAAGGAGUUUCGGACUAGGUUCGAAGUAAGAUGUUAUAUCAGUAAUUUCAGUAUCAAGUUUAGUAUUAGCAGACUUCUGGUCGAGGUACAUAAUUUCAGUCAGAAGUAUAAGCCUAUCGUUCCUGUGACUCCUUAUAGUAAUUCAGUUAUUGGUAUUUCAAGUUAAUGUAUUAUUAUAGGAUCAUAUAUCUAAUGCUAAUUACAAUUAUAAUAGAAUAGAUCAGUGACAAAACCCACUCUAAUAUACGCGGAAGACAUACAGAAUUACUCACAUCAAAUAUCGAAUGAAAGCGCGGGCCACUACACUCUUUCUCUCAUAUGAGAACUCGAAAGCAGUAGACUUGAACCAAUACCGAUUAGACUGAAAUAAAUGAAUCAGGCUUCUACUAUAAAGUAAGAGAAUGCAAACCGUAGGCAAUAGAACCAAACUCGGCGGUAGGUUGCUCCUUUCUCUAUUACUUGUUUGAUGCUAGUAGGUUGUUCCUUUCUCUAUUACUUGUUUGAUGCUAACAGUAGCAUAGCAGUGUUUAGUCUUAGAGGCGCUAAGUCACAUUCUUAGAGGUUAUAGUCAAUUCUUAUAGUUAUGAGCUCAAUUACAUCGACCCUUGUUCCCGGGUUCAGUCCAAGAAGUACUAUGGCUGCAUUAGAAUAAGUAUUUGUCGUAGAAUGAGAUAGAGCACAAAGGGAGACUCAAAGCCAGUAAGAGCGGACUGAUAUGGUAGGUAGUUCUGGUGACUAAUAGGUGCAAAUACGGUAAUAAAAGGGAAAAUAGACACUUAGUUACAGGAAAGACGGAGUGAAAGGAUCUGAAUCCGGAGUUACAGAAACAAAGUAAGUAGUCGGUUUCCCUGUUGCUAGUUUAAGUACUGUUAGCACUAGGCUUUCAGCACGUUAUGUCAAAGAGAAAGUCUUACCGACAAUAGUGUGUCAGUUUGAGAAACAGUAGUUACAGGGUUUUAGGUAUGGGAGCGGCAGACUAACAACUAGACAUGGGAAUUCGAAUAAGUAAUGUUAGUUUGAAGCUACAACUGCAGGAGUGAAAGAAGAGUUAGGUGCUCCAGAAACAAGUCUAGGUUUGGAUACCUGGAUGCUAGUAUAGCUUGGUUUCUUUGUUUGCUUCUUCUUUUGAUGAGUCUUUUACAGCUUAGUGGUUUUAUAGGUUGUUCCGUCUUGUCUUAGAGGUACUAUUGAAAUUCUAAGUUCCGAGUUUCAUGCUCCCUAUCAGUAGUUUUAUUCAUUAGUGAAGUGUUCUAGUAUGUUUGCCAUUAGUUGCGUUCUCUUAUUACCCUGUUCUGUUCUUUAUUCUUAUUAAUGGAAUACUCAUAAAAGAAAGAGAGAAUGAAAGCCGGGAAGGGGAAAAUCAGUAAGGACCUAAAAGUCAGUCAAAGAGUAAGAGAAAGGGCCAAGCAACGGGACAAGCAAUUACGUAUCAAGAUCCGGAUAUGACAUAACUUCCGUGUUUUCCUCUGUGCUAACGGGAGCUGCAAGCAAGUGGUUCUUUAAGUGAAUGAGUUCUUGUGCCAGUACGGAACUCCUUGACCCUUUCCUCCCCUGAUCUAGCUUGCUCUCUUGUCGACUUCCAAGGAAAGGAAUGAAGACCUUCUUGGAUUACACUUGCUUGCUCAUUGCCAUAAAUGUGGGAAGUGGCCUCCUGACUCUAUAAAGAAGAGAAUUCAGCGUUACCAAAGAUAGAAGCACAGUAACAUCACUUUGAAUCAGCAUCCCGCACCCCCAAGAGUCAGCAUUAGCACAACUUUGAUCUAUCCCGCAGCUUGUUCUUUCGCUGUUGAGUAAGGAGUGUUUGAGUGCAAAGGAAAAUGGGAGAGUGCCCGCCACUCAUAGAUAGAAUUGAUUAGAUUAUUAUCCAGGACAACAGCAGCAAUUCCAUUCUGUUCUUAUCUCAAAUAAUGAAAUGAAAUGUUGUAUUUAUUGCACAUGGUAUAGAGACAGUAAAUACACUGAUCCGGAUCAAGACUCUAUACUUUAAGACCCGACCGACCUCAAUCCACUUAAAAGAAAGAAUCACCUCCCCGUAUCUUGCUUCUCACUCCUCUAUCGUAGCCAAACACUUGAACGGAAUCUUCUGUAGUAGCUGUAGGAUCUGUAUCCUGUUCGUUGGUUCCUUCUUAUGGUUCUCGUACACUUGUUUCUUCUGCUGACGACUUCACCUCUGAUUCUAACAUCUCAGUCUCUUCUUCUUUAUACGAUGAAAGUCAAGCCAAUCAAUCAUCUCUCUCGACAAGAACCUCCCCUCCGCCAAUAACCUAUCUUAUCGAUGCACCAACCUCCAUAGAUAGAGAUAGGAUGAAAGUAGCCAAGAACAGAACUCGCCUUAGCCAAAACACGGAGUCUUGCGCCAAAGACAAGACCACUUUAUUCCCUUAUGCGUAGUGCUACUCAUUAAUUGGAAUUUCACUCUCGAGCAUCACAUCUAAGAUCUUAUUAAUCUUACCCAUAUCUAUACUAAACACCCUUAUUAUAGAGCUUAUAACACGCAGAUAAUCUUUUAUAUCUGAGAAAACUCCCUCCUUUUCCUAACUCCCAACAAAGAAUUCCAUUGAAACAACUAAAGUUAGCACACGGAGUAUUGUUGGUCCUCGCGGGCAAUACUGAACGCUUCCGCUUGAAACUCUAUAAUAGUCGCUUUAAGAGCAAGUCCAACUCGGGGAGCUGGGGAUUCUCUCUCUCUUGUCGACUCCACCUUACCAGCUUAAGAUCUUUCUUAUGAUUGAUCUUCUGCUUUGGCCUCUGAUUCAUUAGACGACUUGGACGGACCACUGUAAGCUGAAGAAAAGUUAUCUCCUUCUGUAUCAGUACAAGUACCAGUACAACCGCGCUCAUAAGGGUGUUUAGUUACUGGAUUUUCUUCUCUUUUUGAAGAUCUAUAAGAUGAGCACUUAAGAGUGUGUUGCUACUUUCCCAUAUCAGUUGUGUAAGAGAGAUUCAUGAAUGUAAGGGAAGGGGGUGUGUGUUUCUUUCAUUCUACGCGCAAGCACUUGAGGUCUACCCUUCCUUUGCUUGCUUCCCCUUACCAGCGGUGGAAGUGAAGGAACUUUAUACUUAAGGAGUUACAACAGGACUUUGAACUUCUCUUGCAACAACAGUUGUACGCGAAUGGAAUUGAAAAAAGAGUAGCAUAUGAUUGAAGUGAACAAUGAAUAUGAUCCAAUCCAAAACUCAUGAAUAGAGGUGGAAGUACCUAAUGCAAUAGAGCCAUAGAAGCACCUAAUGCUAUAGAGGUAUAGAAUAUACUUACUUACUUGACUCACUAGCCCCAACAGCAUUGUGCCAUGCAUCAUCUUUCCAGGCGCUACUAAUAUAGGGUGAAAGGCGUUAGUGGCAGACUACUUAUUUGCUGUAUAGAAGGGAAGGCUCACAACUCCCAGAGUAGUUUAGGUGAAAAACACAGGGUUGAGGUCAUUAGUUGAAGAGUGUAGCGGCAGUGUUCAAGCUAACCUCUAGGAAUCGUACCAAUGAGUUAAGGAAUGAGGGAAGGGAUAGUAAGUUGAAGAUAAAGUAAGGCAGGGUUUAGGUUCAGCAACGAAAGUCCUAUGGGCAGUGUUCGAUCUGAUAUUUAGUAGUGAAAGGCCUUAGCAAUAGUAGAUUGAUUCUUGUUAGCACCAGUAGAGUUCUUCCCAGUCGUGAUAACCCUAGAAGCAGUAGUCAUAAUUAGAACUUCGAAUAUUGAUUCCGAGUCAGCGCCUAGAAGGCAUAAGGUUAGGUGUAUUAGGGGAAGCCUUGAAUGAAAUUCUGUAGUUAUGCGGCCAAACCCCUCAAAUAUCGUACUUGAUUCCAUCUGUAGAGUGCAAUUCUUCUGUAACUAACUCCCAGGAAAGGCAUUCUGAGACUUUCUCCUAUGAUUCUAUACUUGUAAUUGGAUUAUUAUGCGUGCUGGUGUCACUCCUAUGCUACUUAGUGAAACUCUAACUUGCCUGCGCGCCUACCAGUUGUAGUGUUGUUUAGCUCGUUAUUAGUACGAGUAUCCUUUGCCUUUUAUUGGUUUCUCGGGGCCUUAGUCUUAUGGCUCUUCCCAGCAUCCUGACCUUUCUAAUUGGAUUCUUUAUUGACUACUUGUCUUUAUUUACUACUUUCAAGAAAUAGGCGUAGGUUGUCGAGAGGUGGGUUCACUCUUUUCCUGACUUUUGGGUUGGAGUAUUACCUUCCCGACUCUCUUUCUUUUACUUGCUCUUUUCAUUUCGUAUAUGCCUUGCUCCACUCUCGUACUAACAAGUAGUAUAGCCUCUUAGCACGGCCCUAAAACCUAAUACUCUUUGGAUUAGCCCCAAAGCCUACUCCUUACAUUCGAAACUGGUAAAUCAACUACAAACUAUCAGAUCGAAACACUACCUAAUAAGAAGGAAAGUGGAUCACAGGAAUCAACACUAGACUAUUGGAAUGAAAAUCCAACCAGUCAGAGUGGAACCAGUGCUUCGGAGAAUCAAACUUGCGAUAACCAAGAAUAACUCCGGUGCUUAUAAGCCAGCUCUUUCCUUCUGUGAUUCGGAUUUGCCUCUAUCAAUAUUACUUUACUGUGUUUCUAAGGCUCUAGUUAACCUCUUUCACUCCGGGUGGGUGUCCAGCGAUCUCACAAUUGCACUCGGGAAUCCAACUCGAAAGUCAUAUACAUCGUAAUAGGAACUCGGUCUGUGACUACUGAUUGAAAUUCCCUAACCACUGCAUCGGAUCCACCAAGCGAAUGCUAACUACUAAAUAGGACAAGCUACUAGCAAAACCAUAAUAAUAACCCCCCUUGCCGCGUAGCAAGACUUAUGCUCUAAAGUCACUCUUCCCUUUACUGGCUAUACGCCUAUAUCCCUUGACUCCAACUCUGCUUUUACUAACGGAAAGUAUGCCCCUUCUCGGACUCCGAUUCUGGCUAUCCCUUAUAUAGAUCCGUCUCCACUAACCACCAUUCUUACUAAACUGCAUCUAAGUCCACAUCGACUCCAUAUUAGUAUACAAUCAUAUUGAUUAUGAAAAAGCUGUAGAUCCUUUCUUAGAAAAAGGAAACUCGGCCUAAAAGUAAGGGUCGUUAACCUGUGAGUUUGGGGUAGGUUAUUCCAUUUUCAUGUGCUGCAUCAUACCUCAUACUAAUAUGGAGAAACAAACCCCAGUCUCCUUAACUCGAUUACUAAUACCAAUAAACCAACCCAAGGCUUGUACUGCGCUACUGGAUCUUACCCCGAACACAGCACUCAAAGACAAGGUGCUGAAAGCCUAGUGUAAACAAUACUCUAUCUAUUACUAUUAUCACUCUGCUACUAGACCAGCACUGGAUACUUCACUUCUUCUGAUAACCCACUGGGAUGGAGUUCUGAUAACCCACUGGGAUGGAGCACUUAGUGAGUUCUGUUCGAACGUAUGUAUUCAAUAGUUUCUGAGUAGCUUGUUUAGUAGUUGCUGGGUCUUUCUCAUCUUGCUUUCCUAGUGGCUCUUUAAAUGCAUUCAUUUCUCCUAUAAUACGAUCCUACUGCUCGAAAUAGAACUGCACCUUCCGAUACAACAUCUACUGCACCCACCUGACGCUGAUAUGAAAACAGGAACUCUACAAAUGUGGAAAUCCAGACUUAUUGGGGCAGGACCUUUACCCGCUUAUUCCGUUUCAAAGUACUAAAUUGAUCUUAUAUCUUAUUGAGCACAAGAUAUAGAAUGAAGUAAAGACACAGCAUCCGCAUCUCCUUUGGGAACCGCUGCACUUCUCUAUUAGGAUUACACUCUCACGUAACUUUGCGCUUCUGCUGACGAAACCUAGAACGGAUUCUUCUCGGCUUGUUGAACUACUUGCACCUGCUCUUGUUCUUGUUGGGACUUGUAAAACCGACCCGGAUACAGAUUGACUUAGACUUGAAGUGAAGCUGACCUCCUACUUGCACCUUCGCAUUCAACAUGAUAUUCAGAAAUUCCCUACUUUCUCCAUUAAGUAAACUCAAUCAAGCAUUGAAACUAAACAACUGCCCAACGAUUUCAUUAACGCCUAACAUCUUGAUAGUUCCUUCCCGCUUCCUUGAUAUCGCACUGAACAAGCGUUAGGUAAGCAUUCAUUCGAUUCGAGAGGAGAUUCCAAUUUGAGUAGAGCGGGUGCGCUAGUGAGUUGAGUGUACUCUUACUUGUUUAUAUACUCACCUCUGACUUUCAUCUUAGCAUUCAUCAUUCAAUUAACUAACUCGAACUAGAAACUUUCCCCUUUCCCUCACACAUCUGGCAGCUUCCUUAGCGGGGGCAGCAGACUUUCGAACGUGACUUUCAUUUCAAACCUAUACUUUAUGUGAAUUUGCUUAUUCUUUGUCUCUCGUUGACUUGGAGGCGGGACAAUCCAAUAGUUUACUUGGAGUUCAGUGGAGUUAUGGGCUUUUUCCCUCUGGCGCCCUUGAUGCUUACUUGAUAUUGGAUUCUUCCUCUCACUCGACUUGAAGUUAUGACCCGAUUGUUGUUGACCUGACUGCAAUAGAUGAAAUUCCCGGGUUACUCUCUAUGCUCUCACUUACUAGUUCAAUUCACACUUGUUUACAAGAGCACUAGUUUCUGUGUUGGGCGAUAAGGGAGAAUCAUAUCCAUCCUAGGCUCAGGUGCUCGAUAAAAAAGAAGAAAUUCAAGGGAACAGAAGAAGGCACUAGUCUAGAAACGGACACUAGGGAACAGAAACGGCCUUAUCGGUCUGUCUUCCACUGUGGGACCGCCCAAUGCUUAAAAGACUACCCAACCCCAUUAGGAAUUGAAUACCGCCCACUAAAUGCUUCUAAUGCUCCUUAAAAGGUGGUAUCAUUCUGUAUGAUGUAAGAUGGCGUACUUCUUAUAGUGCUUGGCUUGACCCUUAACGUAAAUGGUAUACGAGUUUAGGUCUGAAUUCUGAUCUUAAGCGGGAUAAGAAACAGGUCCAGGCCCAGUCAAAAGAUCUGAAGGCAGUGCGAGAUUGAGUAGAGUAUAUUUCUGUUCGACUUUCCCCUGCGCUCGAAAGGAAAGAGAAAAUGGUAUAGCUUCCCACAGGACUUGCUACGGAUGGGACUUACUGUGUUGUCAGUUCAGAAAGGAGCGUUCGAGCAUUGGCUCUAAGUCGGUCAUGGAGAGAGGUCGCUGAACCCGCAAGGGAUCCAGAAAGAUGUUAGGAUUGAGAUGGCGCUGAUGGAGUUGUUGUUCCGUUAAGGAAAGAAGAAAUACUUAAUGGGUUUUUGAAGCGAGGUGUAUACUUAAAGUGGAUAGAGGUUUUGUGAUGAUUGUGUUGGUUCAGAUGAGUUCUAGGUUCAUCGUACUAGUACUAAGAAUCAUAGGCUAAAGCAUCAGCCGGAGCAGUUACAGUUUCAAGUCCGAAUGGAACUUCCCGCUUCAUUUCCUGUAAUUUCUUAUGAUUCUCCACUUGCAGACAAUGGCACAAGAAGAACUUCAAGUCAUUAUUCUGCUUCUUCUAUUUAUAUAGGAGAAAGGUAGACAACAAACACGGAUGAAAACUAUCCCUGCCCGCCUCUUCUCCUCAUACUUAUUCUAUACUCAACGUUGCUUCUUUAAAAACCACUUUGAUUCUAUUGUGCUAACGUGAGUUCUAUACUUGAGACCUAAGUUAUUGAAUUGAAUGGAGUGCACCUGGGAAGAGCGCUACCAUUUCAUAUUCUCGUUUUUCUCCAAAUAGCAUUCAGAAAGCCUAUGGAGUACCGUACAAAAUGCAACAAUUCCUUUUUUGUGGUUUGUGUAGCGCGGCGAGUUAUGAGCAAGUAAAGCCAGGAAGUCAGAUAGAUGAAUAGCUCCAUUGGUACACUCCCGUUCCAUGCCUACAGCAAUAAACAACAGGACAACUCUCCUUGGGACGAGAUAUGAAGUAGCCCGAGCUCUGCUUACCGAUUAAUAAAUCGAAUGGGCUUUCCCCUUUUCUUCUUUUGCAUUUCUAUAUUCUAUAUGGAAAGUUCUACGAUACGCUCUUUUCUCAUUUCAUUAACAAGUUUCACUACGGGGUUGACAGAAUAUAGCUUAACUACUAAUCGAAAGCUACGGGUACCCAAAAUCCAACAAGUGGAGGGGAAUGGGAUUAUACCACCAUACACUUAAUGAGUUUCCACAGCGUACAGAAAGAAAGGCUUGCUUCGGUUGAGGACUUUUUCGAAAGGCAUUGAACUGCAGGAAUGGCUAGACUGAUUCGAAUGCUUACGGAAUGGACCCCGAGAAGGAAUAGAAUAAUAAGAUACACACCCAAUAGACUAGAAGCAAAGCGAAUGAAAACAACAUAAGCAAAGGCUCUUCGUAAGAACGGAAAAACUCGUUAUUUAACGCCUCCACUGAUUCACCAAUCGCUUCUUUCAAGGCUUCUUAAACCAGGACCGCAUCGAAAAGCGGAUACCCUUGACUUUGUUGAGUAAAGCCAAUAUUUCUCGCCUACUUGCCUCGGCUCACUGAACUGGGUGACUCAACUUUCUUUCGAGAAGACAGUCAAAGCAGAAGACUCACUUUAGGGUGUUGUGAUCCUAGUAGAAGGAGCAGGGGCACUGAGAAAAGAUGCAAUUGAUCCUGCUCCCCCGCUAACUAAGCUCUAGGCAAGCAAGCCUCCGCUCGGAUUACCUGAGUAAGUGUGAGACUCCACCGAUUGAGAGUGACUUCCAGCCGGAGAUUGAAAUGACUUCCUUCCAACAUGUUAAGGGACUCCAGACUUGUAAAAGCGCGUAAAAGCAGCACAGUACCAGCAUCAAAACCUUCCUUCUAAAUAAACUCAUGGGGAGGACAGGACUCCGAAUCCGAUCAAAGGGAAUUGACCGCCCCUAAGAAGAAGGUAAGAAUAUAUCCUGGCUAACUAACAUAUGCCUUGGUGGAAACUGAAACGACUAUGUCAGGACCCUGGGUGAGUAGAUCGCAAAUUGGCCUAAGAGGAAUGACUAGCUAUCAAGCUAUAAGUGCAAAUCCCAGUUCUUACCAUCAUCGAAUGAGCGGUGGAAUAGAAGAAUUGUGAGCUCCUCUGGGAUAUAAGGAAGAGCAGGUCUUUUACUGGUCUUUAAGCUCAUAGGCUUUGAUAGGUAUGAAGUCUUUCUACUGCUAUAAGAGGAGGUGAAGCGGAAUAAACAUGAACUCAUCUUUCUGCCCUUUCUACUGAAUAAACAUGAACUCAUCUUUCUGCCCUUUCUACUGCCUUUCCCGGAUCUAAUGGUAAAGCAUACUAUCUCUUUAGCAGACGAGUAACACCUAUUAAGACAUCCUCCAAACCUUUUCAAGACGGUAAGCCUCCGAGCAACAAGGCGGAAUUGGAUUCUGGAAUUCUACUUCAAUAAAAGAUGAUAUGAUUGAUAUAUGAAAUUAGACAUUAGACAUUAGACCAUCCUUUCCUAAAUAUUGAAAAAAAAGAUAUGUUUCAUUAAAGGAAGGAAUUGUUAUAACAAGAGGAAGCGGCUCUGCCGCGCAACAUUAGUAGUUGCUUGGCGGUUGCUGCCGCCUUCCCGCUCGCUACCGUUUCACUCAACUCCCGAAAGCAUCUAUUGUAAUAACUCGUAAUAUCUAUUACUAUUGCUACCGCCGAGAGCAUCUACGAGGACAGGACUUGUUAAUAACUGGCUAUAACAUAUCUAUGUUGUUGCUGCCGCGCAGCGGCUUGCUUAGUUGCUUGGCCCUUGGCCCGAGUGGCUUGGUCAUUAGUAGUUGCUUGGCGAAUAGCAAAUAUAGACUUUCUUUACUUAUAGCUUAGCUUCCUCUCCUCAAGCGUAUACUACAGACCAAGCUUAGUAGUUUGAAACAGAAGAAUUAGCUAUAUACAGCCAAGUCAGUAUAAGCCCUAAAGCAAGGUAAGCAGUUAGAGCAGAGCCUUUACUAUAAGCUGUAGAACCCAUCCCCUUGAAACUCCCCUUUCCGACCUCAACUCGUCUUUCUUUCUUAUGAGACCCCUAAGGCUCCGCAGUCCUCUUCUCUUUCUCCUCUCCUACUUGCUCCUCUCUGCUAACUUAAUUCGGGAUACCUCGCUUCAAAGCCUCUCUUCUGGCUACAACUACUGUUAUUGCUCUAGUCUACUCCGGACUACUCGUAUACAUGUGUGGGAUGGGAUUCUACACCUAAUGAAGGGGAUGAAACUCUACAACAACGGGCUAGGCUCUGUCAACUAAUUCUUCUUUCUGACCCCGACCAGCUCUAUUCUGCCACUCCAUAGCAUCAGUCUCAGUGGCCCCAGUAUCAGUCUCGGUGGUACUGCUUUGACUCUGAGUCUACUUAGUUUGAUUCUUGCACAGAGGAAACUCAAUUAUGAACCAACUACUUGAGAGAAAGAGGCGCGGGUUAGUUACCCACCUACCCAUUCCAUAUCAACUCCAAACUAGACCUACCCAUUCUAUAUCCACUACCCCAACUAGUUAUUCCGUUUCCUACCGUUACAGGGCAAUGAAUUUUCAAACAUCAACUAUAUUCUUUGUAUGCAGAGUAGCGGUCAGUAGCUUAUUCUAUUACUUAAUGAAUAUUACUUAAUGAAGAGUUGCGGUUGGUUAGCAAUUGUAUUAUGAAAUGAAGGGGAGCUAGGUUAGAUAUAAGGAGGGCAAUUAAUACUUUCUAGUGGAAUUAUUACUGUUUAAAACACAUGGUAGGCUAGAAAGAGCACUGAGUUAGUUACAAAUUCGAUUUCUUAAGGCCCUAGAUAAUACCCUAAUUCGGAAUGAAGCCUUUUUUGUAGAAUUCCUUGUAUGAAGUAGUUGCUUUGAGUGGAAUUCCUUGUAUGAAGUAGUUGCUUCUUGAGUAUUGUAUGAAGUAGUUGCUUCUUGAGUCAUAAAGAGUAGUACUAAGAUCACAGUACUAAGAUCAGGAGCUGGUCACAUUAAUCUAUAUCCCGCGGCAAGAGUGGAAUAUGUAGUUGUGUUGUUGGAGAAGUAGUUAAAGAAUCAGUAGCUGUUGUUCGAGAAUCCGUAUUGGGAGUUGCAAGUAAAGAGUCUUGUUUUAUAGGCUUAAGUAAAAGGUGCUUUUCAACUGUUAACCUGGUAAGAACUUAGGUGAUGAUUGUGCUUGUGGCUAAGGCUUACGCUCCUAGUAGUAGAAUUGAGUCAAGAACUUAUUCAGCGCGGUGAAGUGAAGUGGAUAGAGUGGCGGUGCUCGUUUUUCUUAAGAAGCCGUUCUUUAGUUCUUCUCAAGCAGAUCAUUAGCAGUUCUCAAGUCGUCUGCAAGCAAUAUCUAAAGCAACGGAUCUGAGGCGAAAGUAAGAUAAGAAGCGAAUCCUGAUAUCAUGCAAGCGAAGCGGGUAAGGUAGUAUUGUAUAGAUUUAUUGGUCAGAAUAAGCUGGAUCUGUAUCAUCCGCCAAAGAAGGAGAAGAAUUGGAAUUAGACUCAACAAACCCUAACUCCACUUGAGCACUAAACUUUACCUCGAACAGCAUUAGCUCCAGCAGUUGAUCAUUCUGCCUUAAAUUAUUGAUACUCUGCACUUUGGCACGGAUUCUUCUCUCUCUCGAACCCGAUACUAUACUUUCAACAAAACUGUAUACUGGACCUCUAACUAUCACCAAGUCCUGUGUUUGGCGUUCGUCGUCAGUCAUCAGUGUUAGAGAACUGCAAGCAAUGACUCUCUCCCUCUCGCUUGAGUAAGGAAGCAAAGCAUUGAUGUUAGGUUAGCUUACGUGGCUUGGACUCUAUUAUUUGGGGGGAAAGCUGGUGGCUCCCUUUCUCGCUUCCAAGAGCCGACUUCUACUUUUUAUCACAUAAUGGGCACGCAAGCAGCAUCACAAAUUCCCAUAGAAGCCAAUCAGUCGGGCAGGGGAGGCGGCGGUGCAAAAGCUUCCCACGGCAAGCAGCUUCAAAAGCAGGCGGAGAGUGGAUUCUGGACUCUUGUCUAUAAGGGGACUAGCUUGCAGUCUUGUAUGAUGUAGGCUGUAUAUAAAUUGGAGUAAUGGCCUCGGGCGAGCCUAGAUCCCGAAGAGCCUCCAAAAUACAUCCAACUGUCUACAUCCUCACCCGUUCUUUUUCUCAUCCAACUGUCUACAUCCUCACCUGUUCUUUUUCUCAUCAAACGUCUGCUUGUUGAGUUUUGCAGUUCGGUUACUUGAUUCAAAGAAAAGAGCCACGCUAACACUUUCUGACUUAAGCCACGCUAACACACUUUCUUACUUAAGCCAAGCAAGUUCUUUCAUGAUCUGGUUGUGGGCUUUCGUAGAUACUUUCUGGAUUAUUCCUCUGCCUGCCUUUGAAGUAUCUAGUGCUGCUCCUGGCAUCGAUGAUCAAUACAGAGCUAGUGGGGCUCCUGACACCGAUGAUCCAUACAGAACGAAUUGGUCAAUUAUAUCAAUACCAUCAACAAAUAUUAACUCUGAGUCAUAACUCUCAUUCUUAUCUAAUAACUCUAAUUCUUAUCUAUAUGUAGGAAUGGGCAACUUUCGUUCUGUGCCGAACCUUAGUCGUCUCUUGGCUUAACUUCGUGAGUCUUAGAUUAGAGCAGAGGAUUCUUUGAAGGGCAUAAAGAAGGGUUAGAGGUAAGUGUGUGCUUAGGGUUCGAUAAGUAAACAAGCAAACAACUAGCCUAGCCCGAAAGAUAGGAUUUCUUAGAUUCCUACUCUCUUGUCUCAAACUUACAUUACUGCCUUUACUCUUCCACACUACUAAUUGAAAGCCUGCGACUACCAGCUCUAAGACGGAAAGUAUCAAUACAAAGAAAUCAACUCAAACUACCAAACUACCUACUAUAGGAAGAUAACUCAUAAGCCGGAGUCAAACUCUCGGACAAGCAAUGGAAUCUAUUAAUUAACCUAGCGCUUCUUAGACCUCCCCUACCAACUAGUAAUUGAACCACUGCGAACUGGAAUCUCUCUACCGGCAAACAGGCCAACUAUCCUUUGGUGAAAUCUGAUUCGCCUGCCCAUAAUAGUCCACCUGCCUCGCUUUGAGUCUGACUGCCCUAACUCCUACUCUUUACUACCAUGUCGAUCAGUCUACCUUGGCAUACUUUCAACCUGCUUCGUGAGUAAGGACAGCUUCUAGGUCAGCAGCUAGAGAAUCCAAAAAGCAUAAGUAGACUAAGAAAAGGGAACGGCAGGCUAACAUCAAAAGAGCAUAGGAUCCACAUCAGUUGUUAAGCAAUCAAAGCCAGGAGCGUAAGAGCUGAACCCUAGUUUGUGUGGGCAAUAUUGGAGAAUGCGAUAAAGCUACUACAGUCUUAAGAUAAAUAAGGGUAAGACUAGGUGUUGAUAGGCACAAAAAUAGGGAGGCUUUCAGCACCUUAGAUCGGUACCUCGAUUCUUGUAUGCCCUAUUGUGGAAUUACCCUAGAAGUGCCAGUACCCUAUUUGUCUUCGGGAACUACUAUUACUAGCCCUAAUCCAACCACCGGUACCGAGGUGACCUUAAAGCUGACUUUGCUUGUUUUGACUCUUCAGCCACUAACUGUAGGGAUCGAACACUGCCCAGCAACAAUAGAAUCACUAUCUUAUCUAACAAGCUAUAAACAGUGCUUCCCAUGCUUUCAGUCUAUAACAAGUACUUAUGAUCCUUUGACUUCCUAAGAGGCCCAGACAGAUUAUAUCCACUUUUGUAGCCGUAACCCGCUCUGAGAUCUGUUUGUUCUCCUUAUCUCUUACUCUUGUUCCCCACUAGCUGGUAUAGCAUAGUUUUCCCUUAUUGGUAAAGGAUAGUUCAAGCCCAACUCCCAUCCCAAGUCUGCUUACCUAUUUCCUGCCCUUAUAGCAGCCUUUCAAGGAGAUGUCUGUUGGGUAAUUAAUUGUACGCUGGACAAGGGAAUGCUUUAAUGACUUGAAUGACUUGGGUUGGAAUAUGUUAGGUACAUGUCCGCUUCUUCAACAAAGUACCCGACUGCUGAUGUGCUUUCCCGUCCAACAAGACCUUUAUUGCCUCUGAGGCCAAGGGAUGAUCUCUUCUUCUUUUCUCUUUAGACUAUUGGCACGAAACCGAGACGGACGCUCACAUUGUAACCAUCUUUGCCAUCCAACUUUGACUCGUCCUGAUUUAAGUAAACUGGGCAUCUCUAUUUAUGCAUGCUUCUCGAUGAACCGCCUAUAUUAUCAGUAAGCUUGCCGUUCCCUCUCUACCUGCUUUCUCUCGAGAGCAUGGAGCUUGCGUUCUGAGUUUCCAAAUCUCCCAUCUGAAACGCAAGGGUCCGAAGGAGCUCUUCCCGGCCUUCUGUCGAGUACCAAAUUGACUAUUCCUUCAAUCUGGGAUAUGCUACCUAAACUUUCUUAGGGCGAUCGAGUGCGGACUUUGCUCACCUUUGCGUCUGCUGCUUAGUCUUCUUUUGAGUUAGCAUCUGGUAACCUCGCAUAACCUUGUUAGCCUUCUUUCCCUUCGAACUUCACUAUCCGCUUAUUGGGAAUCCCUGAUCCAUGCAAAAGGUGAAAUCUCUGUAGUACCAAACUAUCCCUAUUCGGUGCUUCAAAAGCUGGUGACCUCCUAUCUGUCUUAGCCGAGCUAGCUUUGUGUUAUUCCCUUCGAUCCGCUUAGUCUCUUCUUUCCUCUACCGUUGGUCGAGCGUCUUCAAACCUAUACCAGUCCCGGACUCAUUGAGUCUUGUUUCAGAAUAGCUCCUCUUUACUUCCAUACUAGACUAGCAAGUACUAUAAGGGGGUUCCCUUUCCACCUUGAAACUGAACCAACAACUCGACACCCAUUAGAAACGAGUCCUUUGUUCGCCGAGCAGACAAGCAACGGGACAAGUAACAACUAGUGCUGCAUAUAGAGAAAUGAAACCUCACACUUGACUCACUCAAUUGAAAGAAAGGCUUUCCGCACCUUGUGCUAACGCGAAUGACUAUAAGUAGGCGGGGCGCAUUAGUUGACAUUUGUGUCUAUCUCUUCUACUUCCAUAAGCAUAAGUCAGAAAGUCACUGAACACCUUUUAUUCCGCGUGGGUUGUGUAUUGAAUACGUGUCUCUUGACUCUUAAGUGCUUGACUUAUUUCGUAGAUAGAAGCUCUUUUCUCAUGCUGAGGUUAAGGCUAGAGGCUCAUCUCCUCAUGCCCACUACAUAGAAAAGAAUCCUCUCUAUAAGGGCGGAGGCUCCGUCUUCAGUCAGCGGUCAAAAGAUAGAUGAGUUUACAGCGCGGUGUCAAUCAGUUUAGGGAGGUUCGCGGCGGUAACGGAAUCAGCGCAAGUCAGCAGCAGGGACGGGAGUAGUUGAAGAAGCCUCUGAGAAUUAUUCCAUUCAAGUUCACCUUGGCGCAACAAGACUAAGGGUGUUACAGUUAGGGUCAGUGAGGUAAAGAACGUUCAAGCCCCGAGUAGUGUCCUUCUCCUUCUGUCUGAAGCGAGGUGUAUACUUAAAGUGGAUAGAGUGAAAGGCUAAGCCCGAGCCGAGUGUCGGUGUUCUAGCUCCAAGUCAAGCUCGGGUUACAGUCUUGUAAGGCCAAUACAUCUUGUGCUUAAGGGCGAAAAUCUUUUACUGGUUUCCUAGGUGCAAGAGAAGACCUUGUUUGCGAGAUGAGCUACCCCUAUAUUCUCUAUGGGAUGUGGGAUGCGCAUAAGUAAUACUAAUAAUGAAUCUAGUAUAAGGAUGCAUAGUAUAAUUAGUAUAGUAUAAUGAAUAUAGUAUUAGAAUGACACCUAAAGUCAGACAGAUUCCACUAUACCACAAAGACAGAUUCAAAAGGCACCAGCUAUCUUUCCCUUGUCUGAUGGAACUCCAUUGAAAUAGAAAGCAAAUAGAGGAAAUAGAUACUCUGAGGUAUGCUAUGAAAAAAGAACCUUCUUUCUGGAAUAUUGUAUUUAUAUGGGCACUUGCACCUGACUCUUUACCUAGCUCUCUCACUAGCGCUAUACCCUUUUAUUACAACACUCUAUCCUACCCUGGAAUAUUUGUAUUAGACCCUAGAAUACCAGAAAACCUUAGAAUCUUAUCGAGAGCGCUCUAUACUAGAGGAAAGAUUGCUAUGAAGUGUGAGAAGGCAACUACUGUGACACCAGCUGUACAGGCUAUAAAACGUCCUGGUAACUGACUCUACUCCAUGGGAAGGGGACAAACUAGAUCUCGCCUUAUUACUAGAUAUCGCCUUAUUUCAUAAGUGUCCCGGCAAGCAAAGAAAGAGAGUACUGGCUUGGCAUCCCUUUUCAUUCAUACAAAAGAUCAGGCACUCAAGAUGUUGGCUGGAUCCUCACGACGCUUUGCUUUGAUUGCUCUUCGGAUGUCGAUAUGAGUUAUUCAAGCAUAAAGUCAGAUGUCAGUUUAGUGUUAUGUUAAUAGAUUCUAGAAUAUUAUAGUUCUCUUUUUGGAAGUGUGUUUACUUUACUUAUAGAAUGGAAUCUUUGUCUUAUCUGAAUGGAAUUGAGUGCACACAUAAGAUCUAAUUGAUUAACCUAGCAUGAAACUCUAGAAAGGGUUCCAUUAAUGAAUUGUGAUUCGCCACAUAACAAGAACAGGCCCAGUACAUUUCACGCUCUGUAGGAUUUGAACCUACGACAUCGGGUUUUGGAGACCCGCGUUCUACCGAACUGAACUAAGAGCGUUACGACAGGAGAGAAAGCAGUAAGUCAAAGGAUUCAUUAUCUACCGCAUAUGCAUAUAUGAGAAUGAAACAGCAUCUUGAGUCCAAUUGGAAUCGAUCUAAACCCUCCUUACUGCCUAUACUAUAGUUGUUUAAGUAAUGGGUGGUAGGGAUGACAGGAUUGGAACCAGUGAAACAUUUGUGACGCGCUACCAAGCUUCUGAACUCCACUGAUUGUCUGCUUCUGAACUACUAUCCAAUUCCAUAUGUAGUUGUUAGCUAGCUGUUCUAUUUCUUUGAUGCCUCCCGCGCAACAUCCCUUUUUCCAAAUUGUUGUACUGUGGUGUCAUUGUCCAAAAUCCAUGUCUCUUCAAGACGACUUCAAUGGGGACAACAAUGGGCGUAGCCUUACGAAUCGAAUACGGGUUAGAGUGUUGUUUACGAAGAUAAAGGGAAUCAAGACGGUACCUUUGUGAGUCGACCCCGGAUAAAGGCAGGAAGUAGUUCAAUUGCCAAGUUCGAGUUUUCCGAUAGGGUACCGAGUGGAGCUACAGGGUUAGAAGGAAAUGGAACGGCGGAAUAGACCAACUGUUUACGGAUGUCGGAGAGUCUAAACCGAUAGUCCAAGGUAAUGAGAAAGGAAAGAAAGUUGAGCACAUUUCCAUACUUGGGUCAGGCAGAGGCCAGGGUUGGUUUAUAACCCAAAAGAGAAGAAGGCUUUCAGCACCCGAACAGAGCCCUACCCAUUAACUAAACACAUGAUAGGCAAUAGGAACCCCGACACGAACCCUUUGUUAUUCGCCCCGGAGGAGGGCCCUACUUUUGUUGUAGAUUAUAUGGAUCUUUCUCUACCCUCCCUUCUCCAUCAUUUCGAUUCCCAUUUUUCAAUAUCAUGGGUAGGUGUUCUAAUCUUAUCCAGUGGACAGCUGGAGUUUCUCUAUGGAUUUGAACUAUAGGAAGCAGCAGAUUUCCCAAAAACUUGCAAAGUCUUGCGGUCGCCGAGGACGUACGCUGAACCAGAUUCCAUCGAUGCCUUAACUAAGGGUUAUUUCGCAUUCGUUGUAGCAUUAGUGAACUCGAGUUGCCUGCUAGAGCUAGACGGUUUACGGACUCCUUCCCCAUUUCCAAAUAAAAGUAUCCUAAGGUUUAUCCCGGGAGAAUUCGGUGUCUGGGAGGCCCCUUCGUAUUCAAGGCAGAUGUCGCCACUUGUUAUAUUACGCCAGUGGAGUGCCUUUUCAACCUAGCCAAGUCUCUCUAUUUCAAGCUAAGGAGAGAGAGUGAGUGCCAUCCACAACCAAUACUAGUUAUUCUUAUCUUAUCUUUAAAUGGAAUGGCACAGUUAUUCGAAAACGAGAAAAUGGAGGCUAAAGGGCUGUCUCUAUAUGACCAAGAUAAGAAAGAGAUAUUAUGCUAUACGAAUAUUUGGAUAUAUUAUUCUAUACUCAGCGAAUUGGAACUAGUUCGAUAAGGAAGGCCAAUAUGAAGCAAGCUAUGAGUAGAUCGUGAGUGGGAACUUAGUUGUAUGCGUGCUUCCCUGAAAUGGUACUUUAAUGCUGGAGCUGUUGUCGAGCUAUCUAAGAGCUAUACCACACUGAGCUAUACCACAUAAGAAAAAGAAGAUGAUAGAAUACUAAUUAGAAGAUUACCCUCACCCAUAGCCAUUCCUUUCAAUAAAACAAAGGGAUUUCCCAGCCGUCUAUUGUGGUUAUUCCUUACCCAACAUCUACCGACCUUGGCUAUCUUUUAGGAAGCUUACUUAGCUUUAGCACUAUAUUAUGUUGCAUUUGGUUGGUCCCCCCCUUUUGAUUGCUUUCUUUUCCUAUGUCCUUUGCCUUCGACCUCUUCUUUGCUUACCUUGAAUUGAAAGCGGUAAGUAAAAUAGCUUAUCCGCCCUAGCUGCUUAGACUAAGUGGCGUGUCAAACCACCGAGAGCAGACGGUUAUACAGUCAGUCCCUAGCGUGUGCAACAAGGAGCAUGGUGAAACGCUGCGCAAAGAGGCUUCUUCGAACCUUUGUGUUCCACUAACCAUCAACGUUGUAGAAAGAACCAAAUAUGUAAUGAUUGAGGUGGGCCAUGCCGAGAAUCAUCGAUAGGCGGGAGGGCACCGAAGCUACCACCAUACUCGCGAAAGGUUUCCCGACGAGGAGAAGGAUAAGCGAAUGACAUUAUUAUGAAAUUGAUGAUUAGAACCUACUGAUUCAGGAAGUGACUCCUCGCUACCAGAGCGGAAAGGCAAGAUAGGCCUUCAUUACACCCAAAGGGAAAGCGAAGAGCCGACCCUAAAAGAUACCACAUACCCAUAUAGGUAAAAGGCUAUCUCGAUAUCCUAAUAAAUGAGGAUUAGGGCACACCGGUCAGGUCCGGAACAAGGGACGUUGGGUUCCUACUCUGUUGAUGAAUCUGUUCUAUACACCAAAGGAAAGAAGCAUCGGAUUUCUUUCUUAUAUUACUAUUCUUCGGCUCUAUACUUACCCACUUUCUUAUAUUCCUAUUGUUCGGAUGUGGCUUCAGGGUAUGUAUGCUCAAUAAAUCUUCUUCGGAUGUGGCUUCAGGGUAUGCUCAAUAAAUCUAUCCGCGACCUAGGAUUUCACAUUCAUUUAUUUCUUUCACACAUUCAUUUAUUUCUUUCACUGAGAGAUGGCGCGUCGUGGGAAGAAAAGGAAGUAGGAUAGAAUAGAAGAAGCACUAGAAUGGCCAAGCAAAAGAAAGGGGUCCUCUUAGGUAGUCAAAUCUGUCUAAUGGGUAAUGUCCGGUAUCAGGAGUUUCUUAUUAAGACAUAGAUUAGGAACCCCGAGUGGGGAAGUUUGCUCUACGGGCUCUGCCACCUAUGGAUAUCUUUUCCGAUUAGUCCGAUUCGAGAGCUUGAUCUUAUCGAAGACCGGCUUACAAAGCUUUAUCAGCUGGACAACAAAGGCCGCGGGUUUGAUUAUACUUCUUUUCCUAUUGUCUUUAUCUAAAGGCUGAAUUUGCUUGUUUAUAGGUCUCCUGCACAGGGGCAUAGCAUGGACUUCUUUUUUCAUUAAUAUCGAUCAAAAGCUAGCCCGAAAGCAGCUUACCCAGAUUCCCUUAGCUAUUUUACUGAAAGCCUUACGAUGGACUCUCGAAGGGAGAGGUGGGUCAGAGUGAGAGUUAGCUCGUGUAGGCAAGGGAAGAUAUGUCCUGUGUUCGGGUGCUGAAAGCCCAUUUGAGCUGGUUUCAUCGGCCGAAGGUACCUAGAGAAACUUUCCAUCCAAAAUACCCCGGGUUAUCCUAUUUAUUAGUCAAAGUUCUAUCCCAAACCUUAUAGGGAGGGUUCUUAGUGGGAAGAAUCUUAAUGAAGGAAGGCAAGACUCAGUCUAAUUCUCCAAAUACCGAGAGGUAGGACAAUUCGAUCGCUGCUACUAAGCAUGAAUCCCGACAAGAUGCUACGCCCCUAUCCUAUGUUAACUUACCGGCACGGAAACGAAUAGUAAUGAAUCUUCUCUCUUUUCUUUGACAGACGCUCCGCUCCUUAUUUGGAGUAUAAUGCUACUUGCUUUGUUAAUAACAUCUAAAACCUCUUUUGAUUCAGCAGCUUCUUUUUCUCCUUGCCUUCUUUGUGGGUUUUUUCACCAUUCUGCAACUUUCAUAAACGGAAGCCCUUUUUGUAUGGAUAAAGCAAGGUGCUAAGAGCCUUUGUCCAAAACACUUCCCUACUGAAUAUACAAAGCUCCCUUCCCCUGAACUGUUUGAGCUCCAUGCUAUAGACUCUUUUAUCACAUUCUGAAUUCAUGAUUAUCUUAUUAAGGAUUUAGUUGAGAAAGAUCUUCUGCCGGGCCCCAGGUGUUAAGAAUACAGAGCGCAGGUCAUUCUAGAAUCAGAGGUUCACUUAAGCGGGUAAGUCCCAAGUCAGAGGUCAGCAGCAAACGAUAAGGGAGUUGUUGACUCUGCGCUCGUAAGUCCUGUUUUAGGGAGCAAGAGGCAGAUAGAUAAACCAUUCAGAACUUUCUAGUUGGGGCGCUAAGCUUUUCAGAGGGUAUUAGUUUAGUUUACUUGACUCUAGCUCAAAGUAAUGACCAGAGAAUGGCCGGCCUGUUUGAAAGUAAUCCGUUUUAAGAUGGAUGAGAAUCAGGAUAAGAAGAAGUUGUGCCUUUGCCAGAAUAAGCUGUUCCAGAAGAAGUCAAGUCGAGUCGAUAAGUUAUGCUGCGGUAAUAGAAUCAGCGGGAAAGCCAUAAAGGUAUAAAGCGGGGACACUUCUCUGCAAUCGAACUCUUCUUUCUGUGAAGAAUGUGAUCAAGCAAAGCAGGGGCACUUCUCUGCAAUCGAACUCUUCUUUCUGUGAAGAAUGUGAUCAAGCUGCUCUAAACUACCAAAAGCAAAAGGCAACAACUCUCUUCCCGUCCCGUUAGCGCAUAUAUUCUUUUUGAUCUGAGAACUAUUUCUUGCUUCGAGCUCCCGUUAGCGCAACUCAUUCAUUCAUUGAAAUCCAUUCCCUAACGCGCAGAUCGAUUAAUGCUUCACACACCGAGAGUGGGUAAAUAAGUGAUAGCGCAACUGAACAAGUAGACGACUUGAGCACCCAAAGAUAUGAGUAAUCACUACUGAGAGCUUCAGCGGGACAAGCCCAUUCUAGGACACAAGUACCUAAGCUAAGUUGCACCCCAAUCAAUCCAAUAGUAGACUUUUAGCAAACUUUCACCUAUGUUCAAGGACUCGAAAGAAGCCUUCUUCAGCCUUACAACAUUAGCAAUAAGAUAAGUUUAUUAGAGAUCGAGCUGUAGACUCAAAAUCCGUGGUAGCGGUGUGAAAGUAAGCGGUCAGCGGGACAGGACAAUGAGUAUAAUCGGUAUAAAGAAGAUCAUCUCUUUUUCAAGCUCAUAUAAAAUGCCCACUAAACUAUGCGGUUAAGUAUCAAAAGUCAGAGUCAUGCUUGUCAGCAGCAAUGAAAGAUGGGUUCAGGGCAAAAUCCAGUAAAGGCGCGGGAUCCGCUGAUUAUCAACUUGAAGAACGUCUUGAUGGUUCCCCUGCGAGAAUCACCUUUACCCUGAGUACCACUUCUAUACAAGAGUAGAACUCUUUAAGCUUAUUAAGAAGGCAACUCUUUCCACUCUAUCUGGCAAACCACUUGUUGCUGACACAUAUUAAAGUCGAACAGGAAAAGAUUUGAGCGAUGAAUCCAAAUAAUGAAUAGAAACUUAUUUACACGAUGAAACUAGAAUAGAACUCAAAAGAGCGUAAGGGGCACCCCACUCCAAUACAUCCAAUAGUGAGUGGCCUUUUUGCUAACUUGAAGCUAUGGGAAACCCAUCUUUUUGCUAAUUACCUAUCUUGCCCUCCAGAAAACAGGACAGGAAAUUGAUCUAUCUAGUGAAAUGGAAUAUGGGAAUGGAGGAGCUUACUGACACCACUGAGUCUUGUCCGACCCCAACUUCACUUGCCGACAACAAAGAGAAAGCCUAGAAUAGAACCCGACAGAUGAAAAGGAAACUCCAUAUUUUAGGAAUGCACCAACUGAUACUUUCCGGAUUUCGCUUAGGCAUAUGAUCUUGUUCCGGGUUCACUCUAUUCUCUUAGUUCUUCUCUUGUUCGGGUUCUGUGUUUGUAUUCCUUUCAGUUUGUUUUCAAUUCAAUGAGUUUCUAGUUAGCGCGUAUAGAAAUAAUGAAAGAGAAAGCGCUUCCUCUUGGUAAAGGCAAUCUGUUGACGUGCACUCAAUUCCAUGAUUUUUAACGGGCGCAUAAGGAAGGGCCCAUCUUAGACUCCUUAGUUCGGGGAACAAGCAAGUAAGCAAGGGAAUCCGCAAGUGAACCAAAAGAAGCUAAUCGGAGAAAUGAGAACCUUAAAGUCCGGAGUCAGGUUACAUUCAUAUACAGUAAGGAAUGGGGUGAAAGCGAAAAGGGAAGCCAACAAAGCCGUUAAGUAAACAGGGAGUUAAGUUCGGGCAAAGACUUCAUUAAGGUAAGGGCCAUAGUGAAAGAAUAAGAUAGGGCUCAGAAGCGGAAGAGAAGGUCGGGUCCGGCAAUAUAAUCUGUGUGGAACUCGUGAGUUCUUUCAUUCUUAUUUGACUGUAUUCUGUUAUUGAUUACGGACUUCUCACUUAUAUAUAUCCUCGCUUACUUAUAUCUGUGGAUCAGAAGUAUGAGAAGAGUCAUUAAUUGAUUCUGAAAGGAACAGGUAAGCAAUACAGAACAGGAUCAGUGGAAAGAUCUGGUUAAGAAGUAUAUGAAGAAGAAUCCGGAUUUGAAUCAGGAUCAGAAGAAAGAGAGAAUCCGCUGUGGCGCUGCAGUGCCAAAGUAAGCAUCUUCCGUUUAUUCAAGUCUAGUUUAGGGCAUAUAGAAGCCGAGCCGAGAAGAAGUAGUUAAUCCGGGUUGGCUAAAGUAAGGUAAACAGAGUCUCCAUUCAAGUAAACCAUAGAAAGAUCUUCCACAGGAAAGAAGAUAUAAACAAUAGAAUCCGCUGUUUGUUCCAGUUAACUUAUUAAUUAAGCUCGAGAAUCCGCCGUGCAAUUGUAAGUUACAAGCGGUUAAUCUUCCAUUCCUCAAAGAAAGUAGAGUUCCAAAAGAGCCCUUCCCUUGUGCGAGUUCUUUGACUUAUACCUGCUAUACUCACGUUUUUUCUUCUUGGGAAUUCUAUCAGUGCUGUGCUUUCCCUAACUACACUGCUAGCACUAAAAACCUGUAUAACGCAAACGCAUCAAGUUGUAUUCCAGCUAUAGGUUGGGCCAGCCCAGAGCCAGAGUAAGGUUCGGCAAAAGAACAAGUUGAGUAGAGAGAAGAAACUAGAGCUAGUGAAGAAGCCAAGCCGGGGGAGCUGCCACAGAGGGGCGUUUGAGCUAGCAGUAAUAGGUGGAGCAGAGCCAGAGCCGAGUGGAGGCCUAGUAUCUAGAUCAUAGGGGAGAUUCUCCAUUUGCAUCGGACAGUUUUUCUACUUGCCUAGUGUCUUGUCUAGUCUAAGCUUGGCCCUUUCUUAACCGCUAACCACGAACAAAGCAAAAAGAAAACCAGAGGGAAUUCCCAAUUGGAUGAUGAUUAGCUUAUUCCGAAAACUGCUGCGGAAAAGAUCACACGGAUGGACAACGGUGAUUUCAAACAUCACGUUAUGCUUAUUACAUCCGAGAAAAGCACUUUCUUGCAUAAGCAGGUGGAAUCUUUCCUUUAGGUAGUAGAACUAGAGCUUAAAGCAACCCGCGGGGGCACAAUGUAGGUUGGGGUCUAGUGUAAGAAAUGUAGACUCGAUUCCAUACAAUCCGGGGCUUACGGCAAUAAAUCAAAUAUCAGAAGGCAUAACAGAGGCAUAGAGGGAUUACAAAGAAUUCUUUUUUCUCGGGAAAACGUGACUUUGACUCUUCUCUUCCCCUGAACUGUUUGAGCUCCAUGCUAUAGACUCUUUUAUCACAUUCUGAAUUCGCUAUCCCACGGUGCCGGAUCGAAAGCCUGCUAAAGUAGAUGGGAUUUCUCGCGCUUGGGUUCUAUUUGUCUUGCGGAUUCUUCAAGUACGUACGACCGACUGAAAGAGUUGGCUGUAGUUCAUAAGUAAAGUAGAUAGAAGCUCUGGUUUGCUGUAGUUCCAAGUAGAAAGAAGCCGAAUGCCCAGAAUCAGCUGUGAGACUAUGCUAAUGUAACUGAAUUUCGACUUGGUAACAGUCUUGCGUCUCGUUCAACUGACCUAUAACUAUGCUAAUUGCUAAUGUAAUUGAAUUGAUACUUUGUCACUUUCCUUUAAAACACACUCAUAUCGUAGGAAAACUCUGUCCUUUCGUGCUUAGUAGCAAUGUAUAGGGUCAGCCUCAAUUCUGAAAGCCAUUCGGCUCUCUUCUUUUGCACUCAACUCUCUUCCUUCUGUACUUGCUCACUCGAUAACACUCGAACAGACAGAGAAAUAGGGCAAUUCCGGUCAUUAUAAGACGGGACAAUCCGUUUCGUGUUUCAAAUAAGUUCCUCUGCUCUGGUCUACCACUACUCUUUAAAGUGAAGCGCACCUUUAGUCUCGUCUGAACACCGCGCUCAAGUACUUUACUCAAUUGCUUGUUUCAUCUAAUCCACAUAGUAUAUAUUAUAGGAUUGUGAAUCAUCUAUUUUCUUAAUCUUACCUCCUUGGCUUAGACACAGCUGCGUAUUAGAGAACUGCGGAUUCCAUAUCAAUAGCUCUGGAUUUGAUUCAAGUAUUUAUAUAUCAACAACAAUACAAAGCUGCUACUUAUGCCCGUGCAUAUCUGAAAAUCCUCUUUCGUUUCGAACAAGUUUGAUAUGCUAGAGGGAAGUGCCAUACACCUAUUCAAUUGGCUCUAAGCCCACAUUCUUCCUAGCAACCAACCGAGUCGAUGUCAAAGAACCCGAGCUAGGGCCUUCUCUGUGCAUUCAUGUGCUGCUCUGGGAGUUGCAGGACUCAUUUUCUUCCUUUUUCAUAGCGGGGCGAAGUCCUAGACUAUACUCUAAAGGCGAUUGGCUUGGUCUUCAUUCAGCUGUACUAGAUGCUGUAGCCCAGGCAUCAAUGCACUAACUCAAAGACUUCUAUAUACGAGAUGCACAGUGGGAGCAAAGCGGUAUCAAGUCAUCCCUCUCACAAGUCAGUUGCCUUUCUUCUAAUUUAUACAUUAUCCCAUUUCUACGUGCAAGCAGAUAAUCAGUCUCGUCUUCAUCCUAUUGUGAUGUCAUCUCUAUUAAACCCGCUAUUUCUAUCAUGCGCUUCCGUCUUCUCUUCCAACAGAAGCAAUAGCUGCUCAGCUCCUUCUCUGGAAUCCGAUCUGCGGUAUCAAAAGGAAAGAAUGGAAUUAAUGUCCAACAGACUCUCUCGGUUGGCGCCUCGUACUUUGACUUAUGCAAUAAAGAAUGGAGCUGGGGUUGACAAGAAAUCUACUAGUGCUUAUACAAACACAAUGGAAAGAAAGAACAACACGUAGUAUAGAUAUAGGAUAUUAUUAGUUAUUAUCGCGGAUGUCUUCGUGAAAUCAAAAGUGGGAAAUCCACUAGUAAUACAAAGAAGAAAAACAAUACCCAUAAGAGUUGAGCCGGGAACUCAGACUUUCACUAACGCUAACAAGCCUACCCUUCCAUCCUUUGACUUUUUAGUGCAACCCUCUGGGCAACCUAUAAGCUAAUAGGCAAUUCCGAAUUCCCUAGGUACCUUAGAAGACUUAAUCAAGGAAUAGAAAAAACAGGUAUGGUACAGCGCACCUACAAAUAAGAUAAGAAUAGAGCGAAGGUUCUGAUGUAGUGCAUCCAGUAUGUCAUUCAUUAGUAGAAGAACUCGAUCCUGCUGCCCAAGCCUUAUUCAAAAGUAGUCCAAACCCGACUUGUUAGUGUUUAUCUUCGAAUUGCCUCUUCUCUCUCACCCCAGUGCUAUUUCCCUUAAACAAGGAAUUUCAAUCCAAAAUAGGAAUGCAAAGAAUUUCGCUUGGACACUGGACUCAAACUCGGCAGUAAAGGAAUUCCACCUAUACCGAGAAGACUUGAUCGCUACUACCGGCAAGGCUCGCUGCUACUUACAACUUAUUAGCCGGACCCCCAACUCUUUAAGGUUUCCCUUCCAGCCCAUGAGUAUUACUAAACAGGAUUUCAAUCUCAAACUAGCGCUUCUCAUACUGUCACUACUGCUUGAAAGGUGUUUCUAAGCCUGCCUAUCUAUGAAAUCUCAUUCUUAUGCUCUUUGCUUUAACUCUCCCGCUCCCCGCUUUACGGAAGUAAACUUCACUCUUAUUAAGUAAACAUCAUUCUUCUUAUUAAUAGUCAAGUGUGACUUUCCAGUCUCGCAGGCUUACUACCUUCACUUUCAUUCUGGAGUAGUAGCUACAAUUUCUAUAUGUUCCAGUGAGAAUCAUUCUGGAGUAGUAGCUUGAUUCAGUAUACUUAUGGUAUGGAAACUACAAACAAGCAAACAAGCAACUCAACAUUAACUUGCUAAUGCUUACUUUUCUAUUAUCUUUGUCAAGCUCUAUCUCUUCUCCCUAGCCUUUUCAACACUUAUUUCGGUAAACUCUAGAGAUUAGCAUUCUUUGACUGAGUGGCAUGUACUUCUAUGGCCUGGCCCCCCUUUUCAAAUGUUGAAGCAUGGCUAAGUAAUCCUACUAACAUUGCACCCAGUGCCCAGGUAGUUUGGCCAAUAGUAGGUCAAGAAAUGAUGUGGGCUGGGCGGAGGUUUCUGAAGAAUACAAAUAUAUGGGGUUUUUCUUAUUAGGCGAGCAUCCCUAAAAUGGGCUUGGUUCCAAGACGUAGAAUCAAUAUGAAAUCACUACUUUGCUGGCAAUGUGAAAUCACUACUUUCUUAGCAGGGGUUACUAGGACUUGGGUCUCUUUCUUGGGCGGGACACCAAAUCCAUGUAUGUGUAUCUUUCUCCAUUAACCAAUUUAUCGACGCUAGAGUUGAUCCUAAAGAGAAACCACUUCUUCAUGAAUUGAUCUUGCUUGAAUCGGGACCUUUUGACUUUAUAUAAACUAAAGCACAGUGAGCUACUGAUGUAAAGGCUUUAUAUUCGAACUGACUAGCCCAUAUAGCAACGUAUAUUGGAUAGGGGGCAUCAAUCCAUCUUGAAGCUAUAGCCUAGCCUGUUGAAACGCAGACGGAGACUGGGACAUAUACUAGAAAGUGGGACCUUGCACUGGUUCGUUUGGAGAGGGAAUUGAUCGCGAUGUAGGAGCACUCGUACUUUACUUAAUUAUCCAAAGGUAAAGGAGCACGGGGCACUCGCCUGGCUCAAAAUACAUUAACCUAACCGGCCAUCGCUUCCACUAGAAUCAUGAGGGUGGAUGUCUAUUCUGUCACUUAUUCUUUUUUUGUAGACGCCUAUUCUUUCUGUUUUUUAUAAAUAAAGGUGCUUAAAGCCUCAGUGACCUUUCUUUCUUCUUCACAGCCACACGAAAUCAGUCUAAGCCGAAAAGCCAUAAAGAAGGCUAGCUUCCCCAUUCCACAUGACUGCCAUAAGAGGUCGAAAAUAUCUCACUAUAAGAGGUCGAAAAUAUCUCACUAAUUAAAGCAAGCAAGUACAAGGAUGAGACAAAUGCUGCCGGAUUGCUCGUUGAAAGCGGAGGAGGAGUUAACAGUAAGGGGAGACUGCUUCAAGCCAUACAAGGACUUCUGCACUAGUAGUAAUAAAGAAAAGGGAAGUUAUAGACCAUUGUAAGUAUUAUUGAUUCAUUAUCUGUUACUUCAUUCGAAGUCAAAACUACCAAGUAUACAUCUAGACAUUCAAAACUCCGCGACUCCUCCUGGACUCACUCAACUUCAUCGGGGCGUUCAAAAGAGAAGAUCCCGUUCCCAGCUUUUUCCAGAGACGGGCUGAACGAUUUCCCUCCGGAAGAACUUGUGCAAAAGGGCCGUAGACAGAUUGGAUCGAUUUUCGAAUAUCAUAAUAUUAUACUUUAGAAAGGUGGAAUAAUACCUCCCUGGAGAAAGUCAUAACAAAUAUAAUAAUACCUCUCUGGAGAAAGUCAUAACAAUACCUCCUAGGAAUUUCCAGUGGCUCACAGGUCAACUUCACCCAGUAUGAUAGAAAGGCCUAAUUUGGUUAUGUGAAAUAAGCUACCAUUAGCUUUCUCACUUAUAUGGAUAGUAUGCUAUGACUUACUUGCAGCUUGCUUUCUUUGAGGAAUUAUUGAGUGAAGGGCGAUGCCAGUCGAUUGAUACUCUGAUUCCUACAUACCAGACUUUGAUCAAUCCUACAUGAUAGGAGAGAAAUCGUCUUAUUAAUAAAGAAGGGCACUACUAAACAAGCUCUCGCUAAUACAAUACGGGGAGAACCCGGGCAUGACCACUGAAUCAAUUCCCGUCUUAGUUUAGGGGGAAUGAAGAUACCGAGUUUAGGGGGAAUGAAGAUACCGAAUAACUAAAUAGCGUAAGUGAGGAUGCCCAUGACCUGUAGCUUAUAUUGAAGCUUAUUAACCGCUUGGGGGGCUUCUCCGCUUCAAUUGAGCAGCUGAUCUCGUAAUACUUUUUUCUUAUUGGGUUAUGAGCGGUGCAUUGACUGGCCGUGAGUCGCAUAUAUGCAUGGUAUAUUCCACGCAGCAAGCACUUCGGAUAAGAUUCUUAGAGAAGUGAGCUCACCAUCAUUCAUUGGACAGUCUCCUCUGUUCCAGCAGAAGGCUGCGUCCGCUCCCCAGCUGUAUAGGAUUUUGGACUCCGGAGAAGCAAAAUAAGUUUAGAUAGACUUUGCCAUGAUAUGCCGCUGAGAAGAGUAAUGAUCCAUAAAUGAAUGGGUCCGGACCUAUUUAAUCAGUUGACAAUCGUGGGCCAAUGAAAGAUUGAGCUAGAAAGGCUGAGCUAACUAUCAUAUACUGGACAGUAGUGGCGAUAGAUGGUGCGUAGCAGCUCGACAUAGGGUAGCUAGCUCGACAAAAGAAAGGGAGAGGAUAGACAAACUUAUGGUUUCAACUUAUGCGGUUGAUAGCAGGGUUAGAAACCUCCUCAGUAAGGUAGAUGAAUGAGUUUGCGAGUGGCUUGCCUCUCUCCGUCCUGCAGCAGAUGGAAUCAAUUACUUUUAACGACCGCAAGAAUGGAAGUUCCAUGUUGUUCCUACACAUGCUUAGGACAAAUGAAUCUAUUUCUUGAGGUAGGACGAAGACAGCGCUACUAGGAGAACAAGGAGCAACAGAUAAAUAGCUGUUUUUAUAUCAAUUCCCGAGCCCGUUCUUUCAUUUAUUCGUGUUAGUGAAUAGAGAAGUGGUUUUUUCAGUUAUUGGUUCAUAGACACUUUGGAAGUUAUUGCUUAGUUUCUCUCUCCGUUGUUGUUUACUCCCUGGGUUCUUUCAGUUAGCUCAGUGUUCUUAGCUCCUUUGCAGGUUAGUUGAUCUUCCCACCAAUGAAGCCUUUCAGACACAAAUCAAAAAACAGAUGGAAAAGCUAAGGAUAAAAGGAUGCAUGCUAGAAGACUUUGCACGAAUGGGUAAGUAUAUGUUCAGAUGCCUGAUUACCAAAGAGAUGCCUUCCUAAGCUUCAAUUAUUAGGCAGAAGCAAGAUGCCAUCGCCGCCCUUAUUAAGUUGAGCUUCCCGCCUAACCUUAGAUAGGGAGAAAAGUAAAGCACGAAGAGUUUCCGUGAUGUGGCGAUGUUUUCGUUCGCCUAUUCAAAAGGCAAUUAGGCCCCAAUUAGACGGAAUGGAAGGUGCGGAUCCUAGAUUCGAAGUUGAUGAUUCGGCUUACGAUUUGGUUAGUAUGGAAGUGCACCGCUGUUUAGCCAGAUAUUCUGAGUUCAUUAUAGGGCCUUUCGGCCUCACUCCUUUCCCGAAGCAGCAUUCCCAUGAGUUAACCAUUGAUCCGAGCAAGAAGAAAAGUCCAGCUUUGUGGCGGCGAGAUAUAGUAGCGAUGCGCGGGUUUCGAAGCUAGGGUUGUAGUUGGAGUCGAGAAAGGCAGAAAGGUGCUUUUCGCCGGUAUUUCGCAGAGUAUCAUUGAAGCCUAUUUGAGAUUGUUUUGAUUACUGCUUGCCCGUAGACUUCUGGGGGGUAAUAACUUCCUUGUCCGAGCGAAAUAGCCCUUCCUUAUCUUACGUAAGCUUCAGGUAAAGGGAAUACAAUGUUUUAGGCUUACCCCCUUUGUGGUAAGGCAGUCUUUAAGGUUAGCCUUAUUUUGAGUGGAGGGAGUUAUUCGUAUUACAAGGGCAGGUACCAUCUCGGAUUACCUGAGUGAGACAAAACCUCUGGAGAGUAACUGCCUUUUGGUUCUGUCAAUACAGCAACUCGAGACCUAAUAAAGAAGAGAACUUAGCAGAGGAAACUCAAUCCUUAGUAAGCAAAGCAGGGUGAGUUAGGUCUAGUGAGUUAGGUCUACUCGAUCAGAGGAAAGAGAAGAGGAGAGAUUCUACAUUUGCUAUGAGCCAAGUAACUCCUAAACAAGACCUACUUUAACUCGUAACAAAUACGCCAUGCAACUAAUCACGUUGCGACCAAGCUUAGGCGUAAGACUGCCAAGUCACGUAUAAUUAUGAUUUCGCCAAUUCCUGUUUUUGGGGCCGCUUCCUAUAAUUCCUUCGAGUUAUAACAAUAGAUGUUUUUGGGGCCGCUCCACUCUUUCUAUUACAAUAUAUGCUUUCAGCGGCAAACAAGCUGUGUUUUGUUACUAAGGCAAGGGAGUUCGAGCAAACAGUGUUUAGUGACUUUCUUCUAUAAUAGGUGUGGAUAGCAUAAAUGAUUUGAAAGAAGCAAGGAAACAAGCGCAGUGACGGUUACCAUAAGAAUCCGAAUGACGGGUAGCUGAAGAAGAAUCAGAUAGGGCGUUAGCCAGUUCUUUUGGACAGAUAGGGCGUUAGCCAGGGUUAGACAGAUAGGGCGUUAGCCAGCAGAACGAACAAGUAAACAAGUAAUGGCUGUGAGGUUGUGACUCCAAUAAGUAAGUUUAGAAGGAAAAGGGAAGCAGUUUGUAUGGUAUAUUAUUGAGUUUGUCAUUUCACUCUUUUAUUAUAUCAUAUGAAAGCUCAAUUGAAAAUAGGUAUUGGUAAGGGUAAGGGCGCUAACCUAUCAACAAGCUUAGAGCGCAAAGGGGAAAGCCAAUAACUAAACUCUCGUAGACAACACAAGAACCGAUAGAGACUCAACUGCUAAACCGUGUCGUGUAGUGCCCUUCUCUUCUGGAACUCUACUGAAUGAAGUAAACAGUACUAAGCGCUUCAACUGUGCCCUUAAUUAAUGGGCUUAAGGAGCUCCUUUUUUGCUAUCAAAUAUCUCUUUCUCUCGUGCGCAUAUCUAAUAGGUAGGAAUGGAACUCUCUUGCACCUAGGAUAGAGAUUUGUAAAGUGUGUGUCGAACUACUUCUUCUCGAACAGCUGAUUAUCGAGUUGACUUUCUUCUCGUGAUACGAGCUUCUUCCCUUGCUUACCUAUAUUGAAGUAAAGUAAACAGUUCCCUUGCGCUAACGAUAACAGAAUCUCUCUAUUGCUUGCUCGCAUCGCCUUUCAUUCCCAGAGACCUAAGAGUCCUACUUAGAUUCCUUCUUUCCCGCUUCCUAUUGCCUUAACCUUGUAGUGAACUGAACCUUGAUACGGAUCUUGAAACUCUCCAACUGUCCCUUAAUCAGGUGUCUCUGUCCUGCAAGUCAUUUGUAGAGGGUUCGGGUCAAUAGCAAGUAUAAGCUGGUGCCUCACAUUCUCUUAUAGGCCGAUAUUCUUCUCAAAGAACUCACUAACCAUAGUCACUCGCCUUAGCACUUGUUCUUAUGCGCAUGUCAUUGAAUUAUGGAAUAGAGCACAGCUCACUGACACUGAAUCAUUGAAUUGAAACUCUGAUUCCUAUGAUUCUCUAAUGACAAUAUUCUAUGGAAUUAUAUACGAAACUAUAGCCUUCGCAUGAAAAAGGUGAACUCGACACUGAUGUUAAUUGCCUAGACUUCGCCCCCAAAGAAAUAGACUGAUUCACUUCCCCGCCUUAGCUGACUUUUGAACUACUGAUUCUAUCUCUUUUGUCUCCUUUCUUCGCACUGCUUCCCUAUUCUUUGAAAUCUGCGGGCUGGCUUCCCUUUCUUAUGAAUCUGACUGAAAAGUAUCCUGCGUUACUUCCGAACUCCCUUCCUGUUACUGCGGAUUCUUCUCGGCUUCUAUCUACUACUUAACAAUCACCUCCGGAGACUUCCACUCCUGCACAAUUACCUAUCUUUCUGGUUGCUUUUCUCACUUCCUCUUCCACUUUUUUCCUACCGAUUUCUUCUUUUGCGGAUCUUUCCCUUAGCUUUUUACCUAACCAGCAAAUACCCUAGCCUAGUAACUUCAUUAAACAAGUAAGUCCACCACCCUGAAACAAGAAACUCUGAUUGGGUGGAAUUGCCUAGAAACACCUUUACCCCCGGCUUCUUAUCCCCAAGGACUCGUUCUCACCAGGAGUAAGAGCACCCCCAACCCAUGAGCUUAGCGCUUCAAAUCCAGUACUUUCUUCUUUCCCUGAACUGCUAGCCAGUACUUUCCAACAUACUAUAAGGGCCUAGACUCCACUCUCACUGCGACUUAAUAUAAGGGCACCGAGUCAACUUAUCAUUCUUAUAUUUCUAUUUCCACUCCUGGACUACUCCACUGGUGAAACAGGACUACUACUUAAGACUUUAGAUCAGUAGUUUUAUACCUUCAUUAGGCUUAUCUACUUCUCCAACUUAAUAUAAGGGCCUAUCCUCGAAAGUAACUUAUUGUUUCCCACUGUAGCAGUAGCUUGGCCCACUUGUUGAUUACCCACUUGCUGUUGACCUUACCUUUCGAACGAACAGCUUAUGCGACUGUUCCUGCUGAGUAUACUGAUCCAGCUUUAUAUCUUAAUCCCGCUGAUGAUCCAUAUCCAUCUUAUGCUUAUGUACCCGAUCCCGCUUAUGCUCGAGUAGACUUAACUGGCACUGCAUCUAAUCCAUCUCCUGAUCCCAACUUAUGAUCUAGCUGAUGAUUCUGUUGCUUUAAUCAUUUCAUUUAAGGAUUUCAUGAUCCACCUCUGAAGCUAAUGCGCUUGGAGUAAGGUUUCAAGUUCGUUCAUUACCUUGGUGGUCUAUACAACCUUCUUUAUCUUAUCUUUCUACGGUUCCUUUCAACAAAAGCACCGACACAAUCAGUGAAGUUUGAUCAAGGGUAGUAAAGGAAGUAGUGUUGUUUUCAUCGCCAGCUAAGUUCUUCUUAUUACCCCCCUUAUAUACAAGAGGACUCCCUUAUUUAUGUUAACUCAACUCAGAAAGGGCUUGUGGGGAUCUACUACUUGUUCGAGCGAGCUAUCAUUAAGUAAAGGAACUAUACUAAAGAAUAAGCUCUAUAUUUGGUAUGAAAUGGAUCAUAGGUGGUUUUCAGGUGAUUUAUUGCUUGAUAGGGAAUUUUCCGUUCACUGAGUUUACCGCGACUCAAAAAAAGGUGUUCAAGCAGCCAGUGCGAGAAUAAGCAUCGGCAGGAGCAGGGUUCUGGUCAGAAUCAAUUAAUUCAGAAGAUGGGACAGGUCCCGACUGCAGACUAGUAACUACUAAUGACCAAACAAUACUGGAUCUGAAACUCCGAAUACUUAUUACAAUUCCGGUUUUUGUUAGGCUUUACUGGUUAGGUGAAUUCGGUGCUUGUUAGUGUUGGUGCAAGAAAUAUUAUACAAACCCCCAUAAAAGUAGAGUUUAUGAUCCCGAUACAGCUCUUGCAGAUGAUCCGUAUUCAGCACCUGACACUGAUCCUUAUCUUUCACUGUAAACUACUUUCCCUUUAGCUCCGAGUUGAAGUUCUAGGAGCAGAAGUCGGAGCAGAAAGAGCAUCAGUUGUUGGUGUUGGCACAGUAGCAAGGAAAGGAUAGUUCGAUCUACCUGUAGCUUUCGAUCUACCCGUUGCGCAAAAAACAAGUCAAGUUGACAGCCUUAGUGAGCUGGUUUAUGCUAGUUAGCAAGUAUAAUUCUAGUGAAAUCCUUGUUGGCCCCGAGAGAGAGAAGAAUCAAAGAAUCCAAUAAAGGUGUUGAAGCGCGGUAGGGCUGCUCUUAAAAACAAAUUGGAUGGAAAAUGACCCAUAAAACUCCCCAUUGGUUGUUCGUAGACAUUUGAUCCUGAUAUCUUUGCUUUAAGCUCCCGUUGUUAGUGGUAAAGAACAGGAACUCGGUAUUUGAAAGGAAAGGAUGCUUUGGCGCUAGAAGUAGAAUGAGAGGAUUGCAGUGCAGUAAUGGAUUUGAGUGCUGAAGCAACUAAUACUGCAAAUAAAGAAUAUCUCUCACCCUUACCCGCCUAUCACAUAGGAAUUGAAGAGCUCACUGAUGCUGAAAACAAGAACUCAACGUAAGCCGAUGAAGACAGGGUUCCGGUCUGAAUCCGAAGAUUAGAUACUUUUAUUCGGUUAAGUAGGCUGUAGCUCCGUAGCGUAGAAGUCGUAGUCCCGCUCGCUUCUCUCAGUAAUGACCUGAAUUGCCUGUUAUAGUAGAAUCCCGAGCCGUGGUUGUUGUCGACUCAAAAUAAGCCUAUUCUUCAGCCAACACCGACCCGUACUUCGUUCAGCGCACUAACUAUAAGAAUGAGGGAUUUGGUUUGCCGCCCUAUAAGAAUUAGGGUAUCGCCUCAGAUUCUCUAAUUACCUGUGCUGUAGUGUAGUUCGAGGUCAAGCAGAAAGUGGGCAAAGCUACUGCUACAAAAGGCCAAGCAACGUAGCUAUAAGAGCAUUCCCUACUAUCUGAAAAGACAGAUAAAGAUUCAGAAAGGGAUUCCACUGAAACAGCUUCCUCACCCGCUUCAGCGCAACAAAGCCUUUACUUUCAGAAGGAUCCGAGUAAGACAAGAGGGAUAGAUCUAGCUUCUACUCAAUUCUUAAAGGAGAAGGAGCUAAUUAUGGAUAAGGGCUAUCAGAGGUUUGCAAAGGGGAAGAACAAUUACAGGCAUAAGUAGGAAUAUCAGAGAAGAAGCAAAUUACUAUAAGUCCCCGGUAUCCAAUUCUAAUCCCGGAGUUGAACACCGGAGAAGAGCACCGCUCCCUUUGCUCUUAAUAAUUGAACAGUAACUCAGACAUUCAAACCAUCUCCUUAUUCGAAAUCAUGCAUUUCUAAGUAUCUCAAUUAUGGUCUAAAGUCUCUUCUCUUGCCGGGUUAGUUGGAUAACCUCUGUGCUCAAGUCCUGCAUUUGAUUGCCGAGUGGAAUCCCUAGUGGAGUCUUCCAGUCUUGUUGAGGAUGUUGGUGCUGCCCCUGUGAAAGUGAGCUUGAGAGGGGAGGUGGGCGAGGGGAAGACAAGAAAAGAAAUGAUCAAAUUGGAUUAUUCCUGUUGUGUUCUAGGCCUUGGCCAUACUAAAUGAAUUAUUAUCUUAUUAUUAAAGAAACUAUAUUUCACUAGGGUCGGUAUGAAACUACUAGAUGAUUUCCCCAACAAGUAUACGAGUAGUUGAAGAAUCAAGUAAAGGCUUUGAUGCGGGGAGAAGAAGCUAGAUAUGGAGUUGGGUUGGAGAAAGAAGAUACGUUCCUGUACAGCACUGUAGGCUAGUAAUAACAGAGAUAAGACAUAAGAGAGAGCAAGUUGACAGAGGUAUACGGAUGCAGGUUUCACGUCAUGGUGAUUUAGUGGUUGACUUAAAGAAAAAGAGGUGGUUCGGUGUCCUUACCGAGUACCCGAGAUCAGAAACAGUAGAAGGAAAGUUCAUUGUUGUUGGCAAAGGUCAACCAGCAAAACCAGUAUAGAUGCUCUAGUGGAAUCCAUUACUAUAGUAUAGUAUGUCUGUCCUUACCUUAGUCUGCCCUGAACCCUCCAGAUUGGGGUAUCAAAUGUAUUAUUUCUCAUCGCCAAGAUGACAUCUCAUUUAAUGCCCCUAAUAGAGCAACGAAUUCAUUUGGAGUGUAUAGCAGCACCCAUGUUCCGUUUCCGACUCACAACUCUCUAUUUCUCCCCUACUCAGUUCUAUUGCUCUACUCCGGUUAGGUCUAACUAAUAUACUUGACUUUACCGACAGAGUGGAUCUUUGAUUCUUCUUUCUUUAAUACAAGUAAUGAACUUCACCUUGCCCUGAAGUGUCAGCAGCAGUUAGAGUGGAAUCAGUCUUUGUUGGCGCACAAAAGUACAAUGAUUAGUUUGAAUUGAUUCAUUUAAUAUAGUUACUAUAGUAUAGUAGAAUGUAAUCUCACCUCGCUUGACUCACUUAUUGAAUGAAGCUUAAGCAGGAAAGAAAGAUGGGAAGUUAACCGGGAAAACAAACAGGGUUGCGCCGCCACUACGCCAGAGGAAGAUUUACGGGUAUCAAACUUAGGAUAAGAAUGAAGUUAGAUGAGAAAGCUGUCAACUAUUCUACUGCUUGACCUGCUCUUUACUAUGAAUUUGGUUAGAAUGGAUAGUAGGUUUCCUGUUUUCAUUCAUAGUUGCUUGUUGCAUUAUUAUUAUUAUUAGGCGCACUGGAGCUCAAGAAGUCACUACAACUACUGGCUCUGCUCUAGUUUCAGUGCUCUAGCCCUUAAGUAAUUGGUGAGCAGGAUAAUCAGUAGUUGCAAGAGAAGCAUCCGAGGCUGUUAUCAUCACAAAGGAAAGGUGGAAUUCUUAUGAACUACAGUAGUAUACGUAGCGGCGUACCUCUUAGCCAGAGAAUGAGCAAAGUCAGCAGCAGAAUGAGCUAGGUCAGAUAGAUCUUUGUAACCAAGGGAAGGAGCUGGGUCUCGAUUGGACCACUACAUUCAGGGGCAUUUCCACUAGUUUGGGCUGUAAACCAUGGCUAUCCGACCUCUGCUCUUACUUACUUAUUAAGGCAGUGCUUUCCUUCCCUAGUGCUCCUAUCCUGUUAAACUCUGGUAAGCUAUCUAGUUCAUAUGAGAGAGAUAGUCGUCCCUUCUACAGAACAAGCAACGGAGAAAGAACUAUAUAAACUCGGUUCCACACAUAAUGGAUGUGCCUAUCCAGUGUUUUACUCUUUGCAAGACAAGAAAGAUUCCAGGUUGCCUAUCCAGUGUUUUACUCGGCAGUUUACAGUGAAAUCUCUUCUGAAAAGGGGAGUUCAAUCAGUAUUAGCAAAGGUUUUAAGGGAGUUUGCUCACCUUAGUUGCAAGGGUUUUAAGGGAGUUUGCUCACCUUAGUUGUCGUAUAGAGAAUGGAAUCUAGCUCUUUUCUUUCUCAUGCGGAGGAGCGGGAAGAUUCGAUUUACCAGAGUCUAGGGCAACGGCUUUCAAUCAAAGUAAUAAGUGAGUUUGGAAGAAAAGAAUCAGAUAAAGAUCUUUAUGUGUAUUAGGAAGAGCUCGAAAUCAAUGCGUAUAGGUGUCAGUCAAUGCCGUAUAACAGCCUAACGGGGGCAAUAUAGGGAAAAGACAGGACUCGUUCUUAACCUCAACUCUAUUCUUUUGAGGUCUUGCUGGGUUGAAGAAGGUACCCGGUAUUUAGGGUAAUUCCCACAUUUUCUUAGUGUAUAGAGGAAGGAUAGUUCUAGAUUCUAAGAUGGAUCAGGAUUUGUUCGAAGGUAAGGUUCAGGUGAUUGUCUUGACCGGCCAAGCCACUGCUGUUCGGGUGUUGAGUCAGCUUCCCCCUAGCUUGGGCAAUAAGAUAUUCGAUUUCUGCUUUUAUACCUUAAUGAGAAUCCGCCUUCUUUUCUUUUUCCGACAAUAACCUUCAUUGCAGCUGACUUUAGUGGUUCUGUUUCGAGGUAUACUGAAUACGAGUUAAGAGACUAAGCUAGAUCAGAUUCAAAAGAUGGGGCAGCUGUAUCCUUAAUCUCUGCCAAACACAUGAAACUACCUUUCUUAUUGCAACGAGUCCGACUGCAAGAAUUCUAUACCAUAUGUGCUCGAUAAUAUGAAAAGGUGGAGGACGGGCAGUAUACAAAGGACAGAGGUGAACAAGGGAUUACUCCUAGAAAUGGCUUAGUGUUUAGGUUGUGCACGUAAAGAAAUGCCAAACACCCUUGAGUUGCACUUUUCGUCCCUUUUCUUUUGGCCUAUAUCAAGUUUACACCAUGGAAGAGGACUGAGUUAGUAGUAAUCAAAUAGCCCUUGUUCCGUUUAAGGCUCCAUAAUACUAUACUUUAUAUGUGGAAUAUAUCUGGAUCGAGACAUCAAAAAAGAAUAAGGGUUCCGGCGCAACUACUUAAGCUUGGAAAAACACCCUACAAAGACACACCUUCCUAUAGCUUAGCCGAUGAGAAUCCAGCAAGUAUGAAUAGGAGUAACAGCAUUGAAGGCAGGCGCUCUAACAUUCACAACACCUGAAAGAAGGAAAGGAAACGACAACCCCCCACCCAAGUAGGUCAAACAAAAGAAUCACUCCCUCGCUUCUUUAAGAAUAAGAAAUCAUUCUUUUAGCUUACUAUCAUAUAAGAGGUGGGCAGUACCCGCAAUGGGAAGAAGAAAGAAUGGCAGGAUAUUUCAGAUAGAAAAGCAGACAAGGCUAGAGAAGCUAGUAAUUUGACUCGUCGAGUUGUCCAGACAAUAGAACUUCCUUUUCUCCAUAAAUGCGGUUUGAUGCUUUUUAGCUUAGGUGUUUCUUUGAUCCCGUCCCUCGUAACUGUCUUUGAUUUCUCUAGGAAAUAGAGCCUUUCGCUCGUAAUUGAGCACGUGAAUAAGAUGCUCGACCAACGGGAUAUGGAGUUUUCAGUCUAUAUUAGGAUUUAACAAUUAGCAAACCCUUUCUUCUUUACAGUACAGGCCUGUGAACUCGGGGCUGUUAAACAUAAAAGAAUCCUACACUAGCCUAUUUGAGAAGUGUUCGUUCUACUUGAUCAUAUUUGACAACAAGAUAACAAGGAUAAAAGGUCACAAAGAGCGCGCUUACGAAAGCCUUCAAGAAAUCCAUUCUUGCAGCUACCAUACAAUACUUGCGAGAUUAAUUCCUGCUGCCCCUAGGAGCAAACACUCACUAUUGGAAAUUAGAAGCUCAUCUCUAUCUCUGGAUUCGGCAUAAUCAAUGGCACUAACCACACAAACAUAUGUUUAGGAAGGCUCAAUGGGUCCUAUCCCCUAUAGUAGUACGUUGGAGUGUGCGCUUUUGUUCAGGAUAGUAUAGUGGUAGGGCUGGACUCGUGCUUACCCCGCCUAUCCACCAUGCACCACAAUAAAAUAGCUAUCGGUGAAUUGAACUAACAAGAAAAGUCAGUUAUUAGGCUGAGGCAUAACAUGUAGAGGAAUAGGAAUAAGGCUUCUUGCCGGACUCUGUCUCCUUCUCUGGUCAACAUAGAGUAAGUACCUCUGAUUUCUCUGAUGAUUCGGCUUAAUGAAAAUAGAACUAGUAGCUCCGGUAUAGGGAAGGUACCGAAGCAUAUAUACACUGAUUGCUAGGAAGAUGGAUCCUGCCAUCAGGCAACGGAUGUCGGUCGGUACUCGUACUCGCUCUGAUUUCUAAUAAAUAAUAAAUAAAGAACAGGGCACUGAGAAUCGUGCUUACUUUCUUUGAUUGACCCUCCGCGCCAAGACUUGAAUAGAUUGAGUUCGCAGAUUUCUAUCCCCACGUUGGUAAGAAUCCCUGUCAUAGCAACAGCAGCCCUGACAUAAAAGGUAGGUAGAUAUCUAUUUGCAUUUCCUUGCCUUUUCUUAGUCUGCUACCACUGAGGAAAUUGCCCAAGGUUUUGAUCCUUAUCCUGGAGGUACCCCAUCUUUUCCUUUGCCACUGAGAGCGAGUUCAUUAUUCCGCAGCGCACCCUUUGUUUUGAUUGAUCAGACCGGUCAUAGCCCAUUCGCCCUUUACCUCCAAUUCCAAGUCAGAGGGGAACAUUUGGAUUCUUGAGAAUUCAUUUCUAUAACGUGGGGAGAACUGUAUAGGGAUGCGAGGAACCUUGCUUUCAGAUCGCAAGUCCAAUAGGCGGUCGAGGUCUUCUAUCUAAUCCAUUACCAUUGCUUCUGGGGAAAAGGGAUAACAAACAAGGGAACGAUAGGACAAUCUAUGAUGCUAGUUUUGUCGUUGCCCGGUACAAGUCAAGUUUUGAAAGUAUAAGAGAGAAUCACAUUGCUAACUUACUGCUAUUAUCGAUAUUCGAACAUGAACUCACAUGCUUUAACUCAUUCAGGAAGCUCUACCUCAUAAUAGGCUAGCGGUCCCACGGAUGCCAAAAACAUCUUACUGACUGCUUAAACUCUGGUAAGCUAUCUAGUUCAUAUGAGAGAGAUAGUCGUCUCAUCAUUGGUGAUGGAUCAGCACUUCCGAUGACUCAUGACUGACACACUCUCGAUUCAGGUUCCGUUUUAUUGCAGGGGAUAAGUUGGAUUCCAAAUGUGUUAGUCGUACUAUCCUCACCAAAUAAGUAGUAGAUUCCGAGUGCGACCAGCUCCUUGAGUGAAGGGCGACUUAAGUGCAUUAGGCCGAUGUCAAUAAAGAUGUAGAAGAAGAAGAGAUGUUAAAGUAGUGGGCCAGGCCAAGCUACUCGGAUUUCUCAAAGUAGCAAUAAUCCCAUCCAUUACUCCUUGAUAGGCUUUUAGAUGCUUGUAGGCCUCGCGUACCCAUUGGCUUUGUAGAUUGCGGAGUCAUCAUGGCUAGGUUUAUGAAAUCCUUACUUCAGGAUCGUAUCAGAGAGAGAAGAGACCCGAGUCGAGAGCCGAAACGAGUGCGAGCAGCAGAGAGAUCCAUACUCCUUAUACUAAAGAGAUCCAUACUCCUUAUAUCUUUGAAAAGCGUUUCCUUUGUUAGCUACCUAUUACUUCACAAAAUGGGUGGAAGCAGCGCCAAUGACAUGACAGAAGUAACCACAACAGAAAGGUCAACAACACUAAGUACCUUCAUAAGCGUUACAAUAUAAAGAAGGAUAUGUUCAUAUAUAUAAAGAAAGAAUGAAAUACCAAGAAUGAAACGAACAGACAAGCAACGGUCCCAGAGCAAGACGUUCUAAAAGUGUUGUAUACGAAGCGAGAAGGGAGCACUUUUCUAAUGUCCACGGAGCGAGUCAAGAAAACAUUAGAUUACAGGUCGGGUUAUAGUCUUAUGGUUGAAGUUUAUGGAAGUGAUUGUGUUGUCCGGGGCAGAAUAUCUUAUUUCUUAAGCUAGUGCGGUGCUUGUUGGUGCUUGUUAAAGUCCUAAUGCGGGGCGCGACAAGAGAUCAAAUCUGAGAUGCGCUACAAGAGAGAUAGAAUGAUUUGUUUCAACUUACCAUAUAUUCUAGUUGAAAGGAUGGGUUAAGGUCCAGGCCCACUAAUAAGACGUCGUGUGUAAGCAUCAGCUUCAACAAACCGUGUUGCGCUUAAGGAGUUAUGUGAGUUUGGCGAUGUUCUUAAAAGAUGCCCUUGUGCCUUACGGAGAGGAUGAAUCUUACCUACUUCCCCAUAUCGCCUCUGCUACAGUAUGAUGCUUCUCUAGAGGUUUCGCUUUCCAUUCCAUUCUUUAGGUCUGGGAAGAAUCUAUAGGUGCAUAACUUCUAACAAAGGGAAAGCCUAUUACUUUGCAUAUCCAGCUCCAAUUUAUGAUCAGUAUCAAGCGAGCUCUUAUUACAAAUGUCGAUGCUCAACACGAAAUCCCUUUCUUGGAAAUCCUUUUGCUUAAAUGAGACUCUCCACUAAUAUAGCAAAACGGUAAUAUAGUUCUAAAAACGGGAAUUGCACUUACAAAAACAAACAAGUGCUUCCACUUUAUUAGCUUAUGAAUUGAACGACUUUAUUUCUACCCUAUUCUUUCUUAUCUUUUAAUUGAAUGAUCAACUGCCUAUUUGGAUGUUUGAGUAGCGCUAACUGAGUUUGACAUAAGGUACGGUACGAAAUGUUUGAUUUGACUUCUUUCUGCUUAGGAGUUAGAAGCGCUAACAGAGUUUAUAGGUGCAUUACUUAAUUCGAGAGACAAAUGAAGUUCAGAAUUCGCUAUUAAACAAGCAGACUCCGUAGUCACUUAUACUUACUUGUGAAAUUCUUUGUAGUAACCUAUUCCCGGCCUUAUGAAGAUUGAUUCCAUUCCUGCUUCAUUGUGGCGGAUAAAAGAUUGAUGAUUGUGUUGCUGGGUGCGAGUGCAGUGCAUGUUCUCCUAUGAGUAAGUGAAAGUCAAGUCCAAGUUGCUUCCACUCAAAGUUAACGGCUCUAAAAGUGCUCCUUCAUAGAUUCCCCAUGUUAUUAUAGAAGAUAGACUAAGCAAUCUGAUAGGAAGAUAGACUAAGCAAUCAAUCUGUGAUAGACAAAAAUCUGAAGCGUGAGAGAGUUUGCUUAUUGGGGCUAGAAAGAGUUAAGGUCAUUGUGCGCGUAAGAAAGGUAGGAAACAAUAGAGCUGGAGAAGGAAAGUCCACAACAUCAUAUGAAUACGCAGUCCGAGCUGUCUUUGUUGGCUUAGGGCAAGAAUAAGACAAGUUGUUGACAUGUUGGUUACUAAGAUGGAGAAGUAGUGCAAUGAAAGCUGUCAGCAAGCAUAACAAAUAACAGGGCAUGUUACCUCACUGCCUAAAGCUUGUUCCGGGCUUAUUCCUGAAAGAGAUAUUUGGCCUUGUUCCUUCCAAAGCUAAUUAAAGCACAAGCACUCUAGAGAUAAUAUCAUAUUAAAAACCCAACCCACAAAACCAAUUGCUUUUAGAAUGGAAUUGCCCCGUUCAGUUCACACCACACGCUCUCACUGAGAUUACUCUUGGCAUGGCACCUCUUUUCCAAUAAUCUUAUUCUUGAAAACUUCCUAACAGGGCAGAGGGCGUAGUAGAAUAAUUCUGCUAUGAAGCUAAGGUGAAGUAUCAAGUGCUGUAUUUCUUUCUUUUCUUUAUGUUUGGAAGAAGCGUACACGGAACAAACUAGUAAGUCAAUCUGGCAUGGCAGAGGAAAGAGUGUAUUAGCGUUGCAGUGAGGGCGGGGUUCGAAAGAAGGGUGUGUGCUUAGCCUUCACCGAGUAGUGGUCCAAGCUACAGAACAAUAAAAGCUAUGGAAAGUCAAGUAUAAGCUAUCUAUAACAAAGCAAGACAUUGUGCUUAUGUGAGUUGCAAAUAAGAUACAACUCUAAGGUAUAUUUCUUUCUCAAAAUGAACUAGAACUAACGGUACCUAAAUAACCAAUCUUCUCUUAUAAAUUGAGUUUACCAUAACUUCAACUUAGAGAAAGAGGAAAGUGCAAGUGGGUUUAAGGUCAGAAAGAGAGAGUACUUUACUUAGACUUGAAGUUCAUCAUUUCUUUCAUCCAUCUCACGCAGAAGAUCCAUCAGAUUGGCCCA
Molecule: long non-coding RNA, 66572 nt
Filed under: Musa acuminata (dwarf banana)
Lineage: Eukaryota; Viridiplantae; Streptophyta; Magnoliopsida; Zingiberales; Musaceae
Description: long non-coding RNA (MACU_LNC008128)
Source: RNAcentral